UUCUCUCCAUAAUUCAUCCUAUCAAGUUGCUUUGGUGAAGGCAACCCAAAAGGACCAUGCACCAUCGGGUCAAGUACAUACCAAAAUAGUUAUCGACUUAGACACUAAUCAAACAAUAACAUCAUCCUAUAAACCAGGAUACCGACCCUAACCAGGUCUCUAACAUAUACCAUCCUAACUACCAAGAUGCAAACAUAACAAAGCAAUAACAUAACAGACAACUACUCGGAUUUUCAUUCGAUAAAGGGCCGACCUUGGUCCGUAGACCAUGUCGAUAUAGUGAGGAUAACUCACCUCGCAACUUCCGAAACUCUGAACUGAAGAAGCAGAUGCCCGAACCACCAUCUCACCAAGAAUCCCAAACUAUCCAAAGUAGCAAAAUAACCAUUAGCCCAAGCACAAUAUCCUUCCAAGGGUAAAUUGACCAUUUUACCCUUAACCCAAACCGGUCCAUGACUAAAGCCCAAUACCAGAAUAUGAAGGGCCCAACACUAGGUAAGCUUCUCAAGCCCACUACUGACCCACUAAUGGCCCAAUUUGCUACAUUGGGCCCAAUCCCUUAAUGUGCCUCAUCCUAAGCCCACAAUAUAUUCCUUGGUCCAUAUAAUAUGAUUUCUGAUGGCCCAUUAAGGCCCAAAUACCCAAACAUGCCCCAAACCACGGCCCAAAACUCAUGAUCCAUACAGACAGAGUACGCAAGNCCCCAUGUACGCUAAGCGUACAGGAAGAAUGGUGAGUACGUGGGGCGUACAUCACUUUACGCGGGGCGUAAACUCGCUGAACUAAAAGUCCUCAUAAGUCCUUAAUGGCUUAAGCUCUUAAGCCCAAACUUCAGAUCCAUCGACCAAACAUGCCUAGGAUCCAUAAAGUCUCAAAUUUUAUCACUUGGGACGUCCAUAAAUCUCUUAACUCAAGGUCUUAAUCCAUUAAGACCCACCUACAUCGUACAUGAGACAACCAAAGCCAUUGGGACCUCAUUUUUCAUGCUCAAGACCUCUCCUAUGGUCUGAAAGGACAACUAAUCUCGACCAACUCACAUCAUGCAUCAUUUUGGGGUUUAGGGGACAAGAAAUGAUGUCAAAACUUCACAACACCAAGAUCCACACAAAAUAAAUGUCAAGCAAGAGACUUUAUACCUUAAAAGGGCUCUAGAAGAUGAUGCCUUCCCAGAUCUAUGAGCUCCAGCCACCCAACUCCUUCCUUGACCACUUCCUCUUUUCCUCUUCUAAGCUUAAACCACCAAGAUGAGCUUUCCAAGGCCAAGAUCUCUAGAAAUGGAGGUUAGAACGUUCUAGGGUUUCUUUUGAGGUUAGGGAGGCUGAUAUGGGGCUAGGGUUGAAGCCAUAAGGUUCUAUAUAUAGUGGCUCACCCUCAAAUUAGGGUUUAAAGACUCUAGACGUACGUUGGGCGUAGAUCCAGUACGCUGAGCGUACGCCCCACAGACCCGCUUUCAUUUAACCAAUUACGCUUGGCGUAACCCAGCCUAUACUGGGCGUACCCAUGCAUGUCCCAUUCUCAUGCAUGGCCUUCCUUAACAACUUUUCCCAUUAAGGGCUAUAAAUGUCAAUAUCUUCAAAAUGUCAUAACUCCUUUAUUCUAAGCCCGUUUCCGACGAACCUUAUAUCCACGCGAAGGUGGCGAGAAGCCCUAUGCUUCUAUCAACAUAUACCGGUCCGAAACCUUCUCGAAUAAAACCCAUUUCCUAUAAAAGACCAAAACGCCCUUACUCUUGAUCCCGGGGAACCAUGAAUAAUUACUCUUAGAACGGGGCGAUACACAAAUAAUGUUCUUUUCCUUAUGAUUUCCCUAUUACAUAAUGGAAUUGAAUUAGACCAUGUCACCCUAGUUAUUAGCAAUGGACAUGGUUGUCCACAGAAUAAUGAACAUUAUUGGCUUUUUCUUUCACUAAAACCAUCUUUGUAAAAAGAAGAAGAAACUGUAUCUUGCAAAUAACUGCAAAGUUUGAAUAAGUUUAAGUUUACAUGUAUAUUAUCCAUCCGAAUUUGUUAUAUUGGCUUAUUUCUUGCACUUUUACAAGAACAUUGGUUUCUUUGCAACCACUUUUUUUUAAGAAUGGAAUGAGUUUGCCUUUCAUAUAGAAUCUUACAUUUAGUUCAGACAACUUUUAAUUUUUUAAUUUUAUUGUAAUCAUAAGUCUGUUUAAAAGGACUGAUUUUAUUUUGUUUGUAAUGUAAGUGACGAUUGCAACGACACAGACAUAGCUACCAUGUGGUUAUCUUCCUCUUAAACUCUCAAAAACUCAAAUUAAUUUGAUUUGAAGGUUAAUGAAUUUUUCUCAUGUACUAGAAAAAAGAUAUAUAAAAUGUCAAAAAAAUGUUUUUUUGGUAGAAAUGGAAUAAUGUAAUUGAAAUACAUGGCAAUUUGCAUAUCCUUUAUCGUAUGCAUUCAAUAUAUUUGUUUUGUAAUCAUGGUUAAAGUUGGUUGAUAAACUGAUUACAAACAUUGUAAAAUUUGACAUUAAAGAUCACAUUUUCACCUUCACUUACCAAAAAAGUGAAAACCACCUAUGUCGGAUCAAAGUAAGCAACAAUGCCAAACCAGCUUGGGUAGGAGGGAUACAUUUGGAAAUGGGUGAAUAUACAUUGUUAUUAUUUGGUGCAUUCUAAAAUUGAAAAUAUGCAUAUGUUCGUUCACUUAUUGUUUAUAAUAUUUAGAUUAAGGCAAAUCUUUAGAAAAGUUCUAAUAUAUUACCCUAAUUUAUGAAAAUGUCCAAACUAAAAUAUGUUUAUGAAAAAACAUGAAUUACUAGUAAAAAUGACGAUUUGACCCCUUUAUCUCAGUUUACCUGUUUCAUUACUUACAUAUUUUCACUAAAGCCCCAUUAUUUUACACUAAUUUACGAAUAAGUCUUAAAAUAAAAUUUAGUAAUGAUUUGACCAUUUCUCCAUAUAACAUAUAUUUUACCGAUUUCAUUACUGACAUGGACAUCUAGUCAUUAAAUUAGCUGAUAACAUGGAUACGAUGAGUUUUAUAAUGCUACAUUACUGUAAAUUAUGAUAUCCAUCUUAUCAGCUCAUUUAUGCUUAUGUAUUUAGGUGAGCAAUGAAACCAAAAAAGUAUGUGUUUCUAGGAAAAAAGGGCAGGAACUAAGUUGGUGUGUGAUGAGAUAGAUAUAUUAGGUUAUAUAAGAUUAGAUAGACAAUUUGAAAUUUCUUAUAAAAGUAAAAAAUGACGAAGUUGUUGCUAGUUUAUGUAAUUAUUGUAGUCUUCAUUAAAUGCAUUUUAUAUUCCAAAAAAAUAUACAAUACAUCAUGAUAUCAAGUUUUAUAGUAAACUUGGGAUUUUAUAACUCAACAUAUCCAUAUCAUUAGCUCAUUGAAUGACUAGACGUCUAGUUCAAAAAGUAAAUCGGUAAAAUGUAUGUUACAGGAAAAAAAUGAUCAAAUCAUAACUAAAUUUUAGUUUAAAACUUAUUCAUAAAUGAUGGGAAAAUAAUGAGACUUUAGUGGAACCAAGUAAUGAAACCGGUAAAGCGGAAAAAUGGGUUAAAACAUUAUUUUUAUUGGUAAUUUGUUUUUUUCGUAAACAAAUUUUACUUUGAAACUUUUUUUAUAAAUUAGGGUAAAAUAUUAGGAUUUUUUUACAGAUUUUCUUUAGAUUAAUCCAAUAACUAGAAAUAUACCUUUGUUACCUUAUUCCUCAGAGCUUUAUAUUGAGUUUUACAUAACGUAUUUGUGGUAAUUAAAAAAAUUAAUAAAAAAAAUUAAAAAGAAAAAAAAAACCCGACGUGGGGCACUUUUCUCCUAGUUAUAUUCAAUUUGUAAAAAGAAAUGUAAUCUCUAAAUAUUAUUAAAAGAGAAACCUUAUGACAUCAUCUAAAACAAUCUGUACCAUUGAUUGUGUUUUCUUUAUACAUUUUACACCCUUAGAUCAAUUUGCUUACGUCACCUUGAUCAAACAAGAAGUCAAUCCGUUAUAUUAGGAAAUUAAAUGUAGGAAUUGAAUGAAAAUGAUACUUGAAUUCUUUCCAAACUUACAACUACAAAAUUGGUUCCUUAUUAAUGUAAACCUUAAAUUUAGACUCUACUUCCAUUCAAAAUUGCUUUCCAAAUACAUUAUAUGUUGAAAUCUCGGAAACUAUUAAUUUCAAAUUUCAAAAGUUUCGGAUAUUUUUAUGAACCAAUACACUUUCAAGCAUGAUAUCUUCUAUUUUAAGUUGAAAUGUGAUUUCAAUUGAUUACCUGCUAAUUUUCAUCAUAUUGACUUGUAUAUAUAUUUCAAACCUUUUUAAUAAUCGAUUUACACAAAGAUUAUGUCAUAAUUCCCACGUAAAAAACAAAUGCAAAAAAACUUCAACCUUCCCAUCAGUCUGAUUAGUCGAAUAAAUGUAUGUAUUUCUUCCUUAAAUCAUUUUAAUCUGUAAGUUUGAUAUUGUUUUCGAAAUUAUAUGUUUUUACUUAUUCGUAUGGUUCUUUGUUGGAUACUUAUAAUUUGGAUGUAUAAUGUUGUUUUUGAAUUUUUUUUUUGAUGUUGUGUUCGGUUCUUGGUUCCAUCUUUUUAAUCGGUAACUAUGAUCCUAUUUUCGAAAACAGUAAACUCAAUGUUAAAAUUGGAUGUUAAAUAUAAUGAAAUUAUGAUGUUAUAUGUGUGUAUACCUUUGUAAAAAAUAAUAGACAAGACAAGAGAUGGCAUGACAUAAUAUAACAGACAGGUUGUACAAAAGACAUGAACGCUCUCAUUAGAAAUUUUUUUUAUGUCUUCGGUAGUAACAAAAUAAGAAUAAGAAAUAUACCUUCUCAACAAUUGAUGUGAGCUUUAAAGUUAAAUAUAAGCAUGUUGUGAAAGAUGAAAAUAGGCUUCCGUAUUCUUUUUAAAAAUAGAAUCGGUACCAUACAUGGGCAGGUAAGAAUGCACGGUAUAAUAGAAGUGUGCACUCAACUAGAGUCAGCAUUUGACCCUGAAAUACCAAGAACGCCCCUCAUAACCUUCUGAAAAAAAAACAGGUAUACUCAAGGACCAAAAAUGUAAUCUACUCUAAACUUAAGUAAAAAAAAGAAAAAAAAAGAAAAUAUAAAUUUUGUUGUUAUGCGAUAUGUUUUUUAGUUUGGUUCAAAGGCAAAAUGGUGAUUUAAAAAAAAAAAAAAAAACUAAUAGCUAGGCUGUUUACUUAGGCAAUCAUAAAAGUUUUAUGAAACAGUGAAACAAGGUCCAAACACUACAACCUGAUUCUUUUAGGGACCAAAACCAAAAAAAUCAACUAAACACAGGGGACCAAAUAUGUAAACCACUAAAAAUAAAUGAAAAAACUUUUGUUUAUACUGACCCCCCACCCCCCAGACACACACACAAUUUUGAGGUCAUGGUGGUGGAUAGAGCUUCAUCACUUCUGCCUUUAAUUUGCUCUUUGCUUUAUAGUAACGAAUGUUCUUUGCUACUACUGGAUCAUUUCUUGCACGUUCANGGAAUGUUCUUUACUACCACUGGAUCAUUUCUUGCACGUUCAGGAUCCAUUGAUAUAAUCCCUGUUGUAUUUCAAAUUCAAUAACAAAAUUAUAAUUAAUUAAUUUCUCAUUGAAGUUAAUAAAUUAUAAACUUAUCUCACUUCCUGCUCAUCCAAGUUUUCUCAUUGCUAUAGCAUCACGAAGUUGAUCAUAUCGCAUAUUUUUCUAAAUAAGAAACACUAAUAUCAACAAAAGAAGCUAUUUAAUUUCGUAAUAAAGUUGAAUUAAAAAAUAAGUAAAUAAAUAAAUAAGAAAUAGAAGAACCUUGUAUUACCACCAUAUUUUAUGUUUGACAUCAUCACCAUAUUUAAAUCCUCCCAUAAUUUGAGGCAUUGUGAUUAACCAAAAUGCAACAAUGCUUGGAUCUUUCAUGCUAUCAAUAAUAUGCUGAAACACAAAAGUAGAUGUUUUGAAGUGAGAUAAUUGUUACAAGAGGAAAAGGGGUAGAAUCGUAAUUGGCAUUUACCUCAUAAGGGUUUUUUGUUUUUUUUCAUUAUGUUGUAAGUUUUGCAUGGAGGCUCGAUAAUUUGCAAAGUAAAUAAAACUAAAGGGGUGUUUCUUUUUUCCUUCAUUAAACUCUAUAGUGAAUGACUAUAUGGAUAAAGUGUUCUAUACAUAAAGAAUGUAGAUAGAGAUGGAAAAUAAAACGGAAUGGAUUAUGAGAAAUCACAAAAAAUAAGAACCAAACCUAGGAACCAACAUUGAACAAAAACCCUAUUUUCUUUACUUCAAAAAAAAUCAACAUACCUGCAUAUACUCAAAACCGUAGAAAGAAUUUCACAAACAAAAAUGCUAUUUCAUAAAAAAAGGAGCCUGAAAAAAAAAGAUGGUGGUAAACUAAAGAAGGCAUAUCAAAAUCAACAAAAAAACAAUGAAGAUAUAAACAUAAAUGAUGGACCUGAUAAAUCAUUUCUAUCAUAUUAUCCCUAAAAUAAAAAAGAAGCCAUCAAUGAAUCUUAACAUUAUCGGUGAUAGUGACAAUAACUUAGAUUAAGUAAAAAAAGAUCUGAUAUUAGAGAUGAAGUGGAGGGAGAUGAUUAGCUUCGUUGCAGAUUUAUUGGUUAUAGUUUCUUUAUAUUAAAUAUUGUGGGGGGUUUUAUGUGGUUCAUUUUGAAAGAACAUAAAUAAGUUGCUAUUUUUUGAAAUAAACAGUUAUAUUUCGCAAUAUAGCCAUNUAUACUUGUUUAGACCCAUUUUCACGCAUGGUUGGCUGUAUAUAAUUGUUUUCCGUGUCACAAAUAAAAAAUGUUUGAAGAUACUUAUAUGUGACAAGCAAUGUCAUUGAGCUAAUAAAACAAAAAAAAAUUGUCUAUAAAGAGGUCCUUCAACGCUAUAUAUAUUUACCUAUUUUAGUGUAAUUUCUACAUAUUUCAAUAAUACCAACAACCCUAUUUUUUAUAAUUAUUUUGUAAUAUCUAUAUAAAUUUGCAUUUUAUUUAUGUGUUCCCCGUGUUUAACACGGGUCAUAAUCUAGUACUUUUCUAAAUUUUACUUUUUGAAAAAAAAAAAAUGAAUGAACAUGGACGUGCUGAUAAUCUUUUUCAGUGGUUAGAUCCCAAAGACAAAAAUCCAACUCAUUAAGGUAGAUGCCAUUACCACUUGAUGAAGUUCGUUGAAACAUAUAAAUAUUGUUAUUUUAUGGCGGCUAAUUUUAGUCAUGUGUUAAAUUGGUGUUAUUUAUUCAAAACCAAAUAACUUUUUUAAUUUUCUCGUUACUUUAUGUUAAGGGGUUAUAUCUUUUUAACACCUAUUCGUCACUAUGAUACCAUCAUCCAUGAUUGUAAACAAAGUAGUUGAGUUUUGUAUAUCACCGGGUAUGUAUUUUAAAGUGAUGACAUUUGCAUUUAUGUCCUACUAUAGAGAUGGAUAUAAAGUAUAAACACAAUAAAUUAAAUAAUACUUGGAUUUAAUCAAUAUACCAUUCAGGGAUAACCUGUUAAUCUAUAGAUCACUUAAUAGUUAAUACAAAUAAGUACUUUUAGGACAAACUCGGGUACAUUAAUGUAACACGACAAAAAUACACGAAACAAAACGAAAUUGGGACGAAACUGAAAUUUGAAUUCAUGUUCGUGUCGUGUUCAUGUUAACAGUAAAAAACACGAUGGCGUGCCGUGUUGUGUUCGUGUUCAAAAUUCGACACAAUUUAGUAGUUUUUUAUCAUGUUUUUCGUGUUUGUUGUGUUAUAUUUGAUAAAGUAUUAAUUAAAUAAACUAGUUUUUAGUAUACGUUAUAUUUGUCUUGUCGUGUUUGUCGUUUUUUAAUUCGUUCGUUUUCGUGUUAGUUAGAAAAAUUGUGUUCAUGUUACAUAAAACAUUAUCAUGUCGUGUCGUGUCAGACAGAAACACGAAAUGAUAGCACGAUUUGCCACCCCUAAUAUUAUCGGCGAUCACCCUCAACCUCGAGAAAGCGAUCCUUCCUUUUGUAAAUGGCGCAUAGAGAAUGCCAUGGUGAAAGGUUGGCUGAUUAAUUCCAUGGAUCACUCCUUGAUUGUGAACUUCAUUCGUUAUUUGACGGCUAAAGUGGUAUGGGAUUCCGUUGAUAUGAUAUAUUUUGAACUGACACUGUCAAGUGUAUGAACUCCGACGACGUAUGUCUCGAAUGAAGCAAUUAGGUCUAUAUUUAAAAGGUAUAUAAUUUAAUCAAACGGUUUUGGUAGAAAAAUCGGGUAAAUAUGAGAUAUUAAAAGGUUUAAAUACAUUAGAGGGGCUAAAGUGCCAAUAAAAUAAACUUAAUAUGUUGAGGAGACUAGCAUUGGGGUAGGAAGAGCAUAAGGCUGAAAGAUGUAACAUCCAUAAAAUUUCAGUAAAAUUUAAACUUUCCAAAACAAUCUGUUUUCUAUAGAAGUGUUUACAAAAUCGUUGUUCCAAAACAUUUGUUUAAAAAACCAGAAUCAUUUACACAUAGUUUUUAAAAGAUUCUCAUUAUCAGAAUUUCCCAGAAACUAUAAGUCCAAAAUGCAAGGAUGUGUACGGUCAUGCAUUCGCUUUGCCAACAUUUGAAGCACUUGAAACAAUAAAAUGAAACCGUAAGCACAAAGCUUAGUGAGUUCCCCCAAAGUACCAACACACAAACAGUAGCACAUAUACAAAUAAAAGCAUGCAUAGAGAGUCUUCAGCAUGACUGGACUGCCAAACUGGGCCUUCAGUCUAUUUGGCCCACUCUCAGAACCUUCAGCAUGUCUGGUCUGCCCUACUGGGCCUUUAGCCUAUCUGGAUCGUUCUCUGGAUAUAGAGUCUUCAGUAUGACUGGACCGCCCUCACUGGGCCUUCAUUCUGGCCCACUCUCAGAACCUUCAGCAUGUCUAGUUCGCCCUUAACUGGCCUUCAGCCAGUUUGGACCGUUCUUCGGGCCUUCGGCCUAACUAGUACGCCCUGAUGGGUCUGCAGUCUAUCUGGGUCGCCCUGGGUAUGUUGGCCUUCAACACAAAGCAGGACCGCCUCAACCCAACUACACACAUACAAGCCAUGUUGCCAUAUAACAGGUAAGCAUACAUAUAGUGUACCGAUAUAAACAUUUUCAGGUUUGUUGACUGGUAGCACAAAGCAAUACAGUCUCAACCCAAACAUACUAAGGUAGAUCUAACAGAUCACUAAUCAUAGGAUCAUCCUAUCUACGAGGAUACCGAUCUACAGAUCAUAACAACAUAUGAACAUUGUAUCUACCAAGAUAACGAUCAAACAUAUCAUAACAACAUACAAGCAUAUGAUAACCAGGAUAACAAUCCAAAGGGUCGACAUUGGUGCCUUCGACCCUGCUAGUACAGUGAGGAAAAUUCACCUCGUGCUACCGAAGCACGUAGACGAUCCUUGACCGUUCAUUGCCAGAUCCCGAACCACCAUCAUCAAGAUAACACUCCAACGAAGCUGAUUCCAUGAACAAUCUCUGACUGCAGAUUCGCUAUCACACACGCACUAACAAAUUCCGAAAUAACAAUCCAUCAAUAUCUAGCUGCUAACUCAUACAAUGAGUCCAAAUCAGGAUAAAAAACCUUUUUACCCUUCCUCAAGCUUGGCCCAAAGCCAAGCCUGUCACACCCCGAAAACCGAAGGCGGAAACAUUUCCGGGGUUGACUGCAUGUUGAGUAUCAAAUCUAAUGCACAUAGUAAGUAAAGUAGAACAACCAUUACAUUACAUAUAGAAGAGUUUUUCAUUUGUUUCAAAAGUAAAGUUAUACAGUGGUGAUACAUAGUAUAUAAUAACAAAACGAACUGGUCUUCUGCGCACUCCAACAUGGAACAAAUUGAUCUUCGGGUACCUGUUCUAACGCUGACCUGACAACACAAGCGGUUUGAAAAUCAGCAUAACGCUGGUGAGUUCAUAAGCGAUUUUUGUUUUGUAAAAAUGUUCGAGUUUCCUUUCUGUUUUCUGAAAAUGUUACACACACCAAGAAAAUCCCAUAUUUUCUUAAAAAGGUUGGUUUUUGUUCUCAACAUGUAAAGUAUAGUUGUACACUGAAAGCACGUUUACUCUUGUGAAAAUGUACCAAUGUGUCCCCAGGAAAGUCCCAUACUUUCCUGAUUGUGUUUUACCGAUUGUAAAAGAUGUAAAGUUAUCCGGUUUGUUACACUUUUCUAGAUAUGUGAACGUUCCCCAGGAAAGUCCCAUGCUUUCCUAAAUGUUGGUUAUCAAUGUAAAAGAUGUAUUCUGAAACCUGGUUAUCUUGUAAAAUGUGUUAAGUUAUUCAUUAUUACUAUUAAGUAAAUCUCUGUUAUCCUAAUUGUGAGUUCCAUAACCAUACGAUAGACUAGAUGUGGCAAUAAGUAGUCCACAUCACCUUAUGACUUUCGUCACCCUUGAACCAUUUCGGUUCGGCUGUAGCUAGCAGCCAGGUGUGGGGUAGUCAGCCCCGUAUAGAUCUAUACACUCAAGUCACGCUCUCUAAUCCCAGAGAUUCUGGUUACGGGUGCAGUCCUCCACUCGCGUAUCUCUGUGGAGUGUUCACCGAGGACGUGUCUCCAAUCAUACAGGACUAACAAAUUUACUAGUAAUAAUAUGAUAGUCCUCCACUCGUGGAUCUCUGUGGAGUGUUACCGAGGACAAAACAGUGUACAAGUUUUAUGUUUCAAAUGUUCUAAUGUCAUGCUUUUAACUGAUAAAAUGUGCAAAUUAUUUGUGAAAUAUAUAAAACACAAUAGUUUAUAAACCCAUUUCACAAAUAUAUGUUACGUGAUCUGCAUGUUCAUACGGUUAUCAGUUGUGUAUAUCAGUGUUAAAAGCAUAUGAAAUGUGAAACACACACACACAAAAAUAAGUUUUGAGUACAAGAAACCCUUGUACUUUGCUUUGUGUUCCCCCCUGAAAACAAUUAAAAACAGUGAAAAAGGGUAGGGAUAUGAACUCACCGCUUAAUAUAGAGUUCGAGUGUCAACGGAUGCCCUGAACUCCUAUGGCCCCUAUUUUUCAUGAGACGAUACAUAAAUGAGUUAGAAAUAAGGUGUUUCAUGACUAAACAUGAUGGGAAAACAUCCUUAGGGCUUGGAAUUACUAAGAAUAAGUGUUCUCUGAUCCAAACUUAAUGAUUUAUGCAAGUUUAGGGCCAAAAAUGGGUAUUAGAGUGGGUGUAUGGUCUUGAAAAUGAGUGUGCGGCUGGGGAGUGCGGCCAGGAGUGUGUGUGAGGCAGCACACAAGAGUGUGCGGCCGUACAGAGGGUGUGUGCGGCCGUACACAGGAGUGUGCGGCCGUACACUCCUCAUUUGAGUCCAUAUGUUGAUUUUGAAGUGUAUGCUCUUCAUACUUGGGAAUUUUGAAUGUAUGCUGCCCCCAUUUGAAGGUGUGCAGCCGUACACCUUCAUGGGAUGAUGAAUAUGAUGAAUAUAAUGAGUUUUAAGCUUGGGAUUCAAGUGUUUACCACUACACUUAGCUUGAAGUUGAAGUAGAUCACGAUUAUGAAGCCUUCCAAGUGUUCUUGGUUAAUGAUUUAGAGAGAGAAAGUAGAGAGAGGGAAGAGAACAUCUAAAAGAAUGAAUGAAGAGGUAUCCAUCCAUAAAUUGAAUUGGGUGUGAGGUUGAGGGUGUUUGCAGUUGGGUGUGUGGCCGUACACACAGGUGUGUGGCCGCACACACCUUAUUUGGUGAGUUUUGGCCCGAUUUUGUGAUACUAAACACUCUCCAACCCUUCCUAAGACUCAUAUCUAAAUUAUACUAAGUCUAAAGCACCCAUAUGGAAUCACAAGAGACAAUGAACUCAAGUUUUAGUGCUGAAACACAUAUCAAUUACAUGGAUUAGAAGUUUCGGGUUGUCACAAAGCCCAAACUAAAUGACAAAAGGUACAAUAUCAAAAUAAACUCCUUAAGUCCAAUUAUGCCCCAAUUUUCCAACUUUGCCCUAAUGGCUUUCAAUCAUGAAGAUCCAGCAAACUAAAAGCCCAAACCAUAAAAUCCCAGAUGGUCUAUCACAAACCAAUGCAAGCCAAACCCAAAUCUUGAUCCAAAGGCCCAAACCACUUCAAGCCUACACUUAGCCCAAUUUUCCAAAUUGGGCCCAACUCCAUAUUAGGCCUUAUCCAAAGGUCCGAUCCUCUACAUAGCCCAAGACACAUUGUCACACCCACAAACUGGAACGGCGGAAACGUUCGGGGGUGGUUGACGUCAUGCGUAGUAUCACAACAGUUGUAUCAUAGCAAGCAUAGUAAACACAACCGAACAUUGAAUACAUAUAUGAAUAAGGUUUACAUUGUCUUAGCACAUAGUUUUGUUAAUGACGAAAGUAAAAUCGAAAGAUGUGACUCUAACGCGCCGACUUCUCCAAAAGUCCUGGAAGUACCUGUCUACUAAAUCCUUGAGAAUACAAGCAGUUUUGAAAGAAUACCAGCAUAAAGCUGGUGAGUUCAUAAGCAUUUAGUUUUGAUGGAAAAUGUUUCCUUGAAUCCUUUUGAAAAGUGUUCCUUAAGAAAAUCCUCUAUUUUUUUUAUGAAAAACAUGUUUGAAAAAUCAUUCCUUCCAUGACAUCCAGAUUCAUACAUGGUAUGUACAAUCCAAGGAGUCGUGGAAUGAAUAUAAAUAUCCGUUAGUUAUAUGUAAAAACAAUCCGUUUAUGAAUAGCCGAGUUAUCCCGGGAAAAUCCUAUAUUUUCCCUAAAAGUUGAAGGUUGGUUAUCCGUUCUAAACUGAGGUGUACAAGUAUCUACCAUACUUAUAUCGGUAAACAUAGUUUUCUUUUAAAAACCUUGGUUACUCCCAGUGUAGUAUAUUAGCCAUAUUUUAUAAAUAAAACUAAUAAAAGAAAACGUUUUGACCUAAAUCUUGAAGGUACUAUUAAUACCCUCUAGUAAUCGAAUUGGUUAUUACUUUGAGGUUAGUUCAAUUGAUUCAUUAUUACAAAAGUAAAUAUCUGUUAUCUAGGUUUUGAGUGUUAUAACCAUAACUGACUGGAUAUGGCCCGCAACGGCCGGUAUCCUUAAUGACUUUGUCACCCGUAGACCUGUCGGUCCGGCUGUAGCUAGCAGCGAGGUGCAGGGUUGUCGGUCCCGUAUAGAUCUAUACACAACAGUCAUGCUCUCCCUACAAGAGAUUCUGGUUACAAGUGCUAAUCCUACACUCUGAUUUUGUGGGAGUGUUACCAAGGACGUGUCUCCAACUUAGCCUAACAAAUUUACAAGUAAUAAUACUGAAAAUCAUGUUUAUGAUUUGCAUGAAUCCUUUAUAAAAUAAUACAUUUUACUUCAUGAUUCACAAGUUCGUUACCCUAGUUUUGAAAACUGUUUCUAUGAGUUUAUUUUUUAAUCGUUUGGUAAAAACUGUUUUCCAUUUUAAAAAAACAUACUAAAAAUAUUAUUAAAUUAAACAAAAAAAUGUAUUUUGAGCACAAGUUUCCUUGUACUUUUGCUUGUAUUCCCCCCCCCCCCUUAAAAAAUGNGAAAACAUGAAAACUCGGAAAAACGUAGGGUAUGAAAUCACCGUUUGACGUGUGAUUCGAAUAUAAGAUCGUUAGGGAUGUUGAGUGUCAAGUGUAACCUCGAGCACAAACGGACCCUAUUUAACAUAUAACGAUACAUGUAUGGGCAUAAUUAGUGUAUAAUACAACUAAUCAUGAUAAGUGACACCCUACGGGACUAGGAAACACUUGGGACAAGUGUUACAAUCACAUACGAUUGUAUGAAGGGAAUGUAAGGCCACACAAAAGAGUGUGUGGUCAGAGUGUGUGGUUGGAGUGUGUGGUCAGAGUGUGUGGUCGGAGUGUGUGGUCAGAGUGUUUGGUCAGAGUGUGUGGUCGGAGUGUGUGGUCAGAGUGUUUGGUCAGAGUGUGUGGUCGGAGUGUGUGGUCGAAGUGUGUGGUCAGAGUGUGCGGCCACCAAGAAGGUGUGUGACCGUACCCCUCAUUGAUCAUGCUAAAGUGAUCGACUUUAAGGUGAAUCAAGGCUCAAAUCAUGAAGUCUUUCAAGUAUAGCAAGCUAAAAGGAUGGAAUACUUACGUUUUUGAAGCCUUAGAAGUGUUUGUGGUUGAUACAAGUAGAGAGAGAGAGAGGUGUACGGUUGAGGAGAGGGGAAAUGAAGCGAAAAUCAACCUCAUCUAUAUAUAGAUAAUGGGUGUGUGGCCACACACUCGGGUGUGCGGCCCCAUACUCAUGUGUGCGGCCAUACACUCAGGUGUGUGGCCACAUACUCAUGUGGGCGGCCAUACACUAGGGUGUGCGGCCACACACUCGUGUGUGCGGCCUCACACUCGGGUGUGUGGUCAACCAUCCGUUAGUCAAACUUUGGUUGUACAAGGCUUUAGAUCAUCCAAACAGACUUAAAACAAUGCUAAAAGAUAACAUGAAACGAGUUUAACAUUGAUAGUAUCGAAUAGUUGAACAAGGUAGAAGUUUCGGGGUGUCACACACGCCCAUCUAGGUAAUCCAUUAGGGCCCAAGUAUCAAAGCCCAGCAGAUGGCCCAAUACCCAAAGCCCAAAGUCCGAAGCCCAACAGGGGACAUACGUGGGGCGUACCCCUUCGGUAUGCACGGUGUACCUCGCCUCGCAUCGACCCAUUACAAGGGGUUUUUGGGGUUUGAGUCUAAACGCGGGGCGUACAACAACUUACGCGGGGCGUACCAUUGCAGGGACCAAAAUCAUGAUAAGUGCUUAAUGGCUUAAGCACUUAAGCCCAAACUUCAGAUCCACUACUCAAAUGUACUCUAGAACCAUAAAGUCUCAAACUUUAAGACAUUGGUCGACCAAUAAGGGCUUAAUACAUGGUCUUAAUCCAUUAAGACCUCCUACAAAGAACUAGGGACUAAACUAGCUCAAGGAACCUCAUUUUUAUGCCUUAGGACCCAUCCUAGGGUCUGAAAGGACUACCCAACUCGACCAAAACAAAGCACACACAAUAUUGGGACUCUUGUGACAAGAAGAAUACCAUAAAGUAACCAAAACAAGAUCUAAACAAUCCAAGAAUAAAGGUAGAAACUUUAUACCUUCUAAAGCUUCCCAAGAUUUUGAUAACUCCAGAUCUACAAGGUUGAUCCCUUCCUUGUCUCCUUUGAUGCACUACUUCUUCUUCAACUACCCAAGAGGCACAUUUUUAGCUCACACACACAAAAGAAAGGCUAGGGUUUGGGAAAAACGCCUCAAAACUAUGGAGGAUGGAAGGAUACAUGGUAAUGAGCUUAUAAGGACUCUUAUAUACCACCAAAUCCCUAAAUAUUAGGGUUUCAUCCUAGCACUCGUACGCCCAAUGUACAUAUGUGUACGCCUAGCGUACUUCUCAAGUUCCCAAAAUCAUCAUUUUUGCCACCAGGGCCUUCCUUUUGCCACUUCUUUCCAAACCAAGGGCCAAAAUGACAUAAUUCCAAGUCCAAGGGAUCUAUUCGAAGUUACUUUAAAGAUGGGGUGUUACAAAUCUCCCCCACUUAAAUUCGAUUUCAUCCUCGAAAUCAUUCCUUACCGUCCCCGGCAACCCGACAUUUUGAGGGGCACAUCCACAACCAUGACUUACAACGAGCUUCUAAGGAGACUAAACUGUCACACCCCCAAACCAGAAAGGCGGAAACGUUCGGGGGCGGAGGACUUCAUGUAAGUAUCACAACACAUUCAAUAUAGUAAUCCAAGUACAAACAACCAUUUCAUUAAUAAGUAUAAGUUUUACAUAAGUGUUUAAACAUUACAUAUUCAAACACCAAAGUAGGUACAGUAGAAGACAAGAGUCGCGGUACGGUACUAGGUAGUCUUCUCAAGAGCUUCGGGAGUGUACCUGUCUACUGGAUUCUUGAGAAUACAAGUUAUUUGAAAAGAGUAGAUCAGCAUUUAAGAUGGUGAGUUCAUAAGUAUUUUAGUUCUGUAAAGUAUACUCUAGGUUCUUUGGAAAAGUUCACUGGUUCCUCCAGAAAAUCCUAUAUUUCCUGAGGUGAUAAACUGAUAACCUCAAUAGUUUCCCUCUGUAAUUACUUAGUUUAUAUUAAUUAUGUAUAACCUAAUAUCGAACUGACAGUGAAAUGGGUGUAUCUGCCCUAAGCCCACAACCAAACAAGGAACAGGAAGUAAGGCGGAAGUCACAUAUUUCACUGUCAAUCGGAUAUUACUUAUAUAUAACUCUAAUGUAAUAACUAAGGACUUAUAGAAUUAACCACUAAAGGUAUUUUAUGUUAUACUAGUUUACAGAGAUUGAAUGACUAAGUUUCAUUUGAUAAGUGGUUUAAUUCCAUAACCCGUUUCAUUUGUAAAAGUGGUUUAAUCCCAUAACCGUUCCAUUUGUAAAAGUGGUUUAAUCCCAUAAACGUUCCAUUUGUAAAAGUGGUUUAAUCCCAUAAACCGUUUCCUUUGUAUAAGUGGUUAAAUCCCAUAACCGUUUCUUUUGAAAGAGUGGUUUAAUUCCAUAAACCGUUUCAUUUGUAAAAGUAUUCUUAGUUAUAUAUGUUCUAUGGUAAAAACCUUAGUAUUAAUCCUGGAAAAUAUUAUAUUAUCCAUAAUACUGCCUUGUGGUUUUAAAUGUUCAAAAACAGAAGUACAAGUAUAUUUACCAUACUUGAUUUCAUGAUACGUAGCUUUUACUGUAAGUAAAAACUACAGAAGGUAUAUUUGGUCGGGAUGUAAUUAUCUUUUCUUACUGUUUUAAGAGAAGUAUAUUACUUAGUAAUUCACUCAUUGUUUUAUCCAUGUGAGUUCUAUUAACCAUACUAAUAUGACUGAUAUGCCUGCGGCGACGUUCUUCAGGCGUCGGAAUGGAAUGAUAUUUGACACCCUAGGCCUGCCGGCCAAACUGUAGCGAACAGUAGAGGUGCGGGAUUGUCAGUCCCAUAUAGAUCUAUACACAAAUUCACGCUCUCCCUACAAGAGAUUCUGGUUAAUAGGUCAGGACUUAAAGUCGUACUUAGAUAAGUACACCGUGAAGGGUCUCACAAAUUUAUUGUUUCAACGAGAUUUACGAUGUAUUAUUACCCCGUGAUUGCUAACCCUGGUACUCUGUAUCGUACCUUUGUUAAUGUAAACCCGGUAUGAUGUAUUAUUACCCCGUGAUUGCUAACCCUGGUACUCUGUAUCGUACCUUUGUUAAUGCAAACCCGGUAUGAUGUAUCUUUACUUCUUUAAUAUGUUAUUCGUAUAUUAAAGGAAUUAUACAUAUCCUAGUAUAGUUAAAUAAGUUUUGGUACUUUCCUUGGAAUUUGAAUCAUACUCGUAUUUUUAGUUUUGAAUCAUAAAUUAUACCUAUUAUAAUUUAUAUGCUCUAUCUGGUUAACAUGAUUUCUCAUGGAUGAACACCUUUGCUCAGCCUGAUACAUAGGUAAUGAUACCAAAACGAGUGACUUUUUUAUACUAAUAUAUGUAUAAUAUAUAUAAUUAAGAAGGAAACGACCUUCGGACAAAUAACACAACCUUAACUCCACAUCCAAACAAGGAAAAGGAAAUAAGAUAAUUCAUUAGCCCUAAGUCCUUCAAAUCUUAUUUAUAUAUUUAUACAUAUAUAAACAUGAUUUUUGGCAUUUAUAAUUUGAAAUAGUUUAUAAAACAUUUUUCAAAGAAUUUAACGGAGUUUACAUGACUUUAAAUAUUUAACAUGGCUUUAAGUCAUUUUGGAUGUAUUUGGUAAUUCUUGAAAGCAUACAUAAACUAUUUGCGUGAUUAUUAUCACAUACAAUUAUUAAUACAAUUUAAUUCGAAGUUGGCGGGUAGUACCAAUACGAGGGUAAUGAUAAUUUGAAAUUAUGAACUUUCAUGAAACGAUCCUUACUGGGUCUCUCUAUAAUUGCUUGGUGCAUACAAGUCAUGUAUAAUUAAGAUUGGUAAGACCUUAGACUGAGCAACCCUGCCCUAAAUCCACAACCAAACAAGGAACAUGAAAUGAGGAGGGAUUACUCACUCUAACUCUACAAAUCUUAAUUAUAAAUGACACUUAUGUAUACACUAAGUUAUCAUAGCUUACCUGUUAGGGUUUCAAAUUUUUAUAUAAGUGUUAUGAUUUAGUUCGAACGGAAGAGUAAUCAUAAUUAUAAAUAGUUAUCGGGGUUUGGAAGCGUACCAAAAUAUAGCAGGGUUCUUUGAUGCUUUCCCAUGUAUUGGGAUCAAAAUCCUCCUGCUCCCCCGUAGUUCUUCUCUGUUGGACAAUCCCUCUUGUAAUGUCAUGUUUUACCACAAAGGUGACAUAUGGGAAUGGUUCCAACAUCAGUAGUUGAAGUGAUGAACUCGACCGGAGUUCUACAGAUGCGGGUGGUAUGCCCCUUUAUGUUGCAUCUAUUGCAAUGCAGGUCUUGGCGAACUCCAUGAAGAUGGUAGUUGCACUUGCUGCAGUGUGGGAGGUUCCUAAGUACGGCUGGGUUGGUGCUAGAAUAACAGGGCUAAUGGGGGUAUUGACUGCCCUAGUUUGUUGCCCUCUGUUAGGUUCUUGAGUUGAACAACUCCUUUUCAAGUUCUCGAACUUUCGUUUAAGGAUAUUAGGCUUAAGGUUCGAGGUGUCCUUACAAGUAGGUUCUUGUGGCUGUACUUGGUCAUCACCACGAUCGGGGUUACCGAUAGCAUUACUACUAACAUUUGCAUUGUUAGCAUUAAGGUGUGUCAUGACAGCUGUUAUAGUUGCUGUGACCGCAGCUUGAAACGUAGCUGCAUCUAUCUAAAGGAUUGGUGUUUUGCUGGUGGGUUGGUUACACUUCUUUGGAGGCAUGAUUCUGUUAUAUGAUAUGAAAAUGAGUUCGUGAGCGACUAUCGUGUCUCUAGAUGUAUUCUAACCAUUUGUAUCUAUGUAUUAAUCUUUCGUUUUGUUAUAUUGUUUUUAAUGAUUCGACCUGCAUCCCUAUGAUGCAAUCCUGAUAAGGAAUAUAGUUAAGUUUCUAGAAUGGUUAGGAACCGAAUAUCAUCCGAACUAAGUUACCUUCGCUUGGUGGAUAUCGUUUCCCAAUUUUCGAAAAUAUUCGAAAACAAUUCAUAACAGUGUCUACAUAGAAUAGACUUAUGAGUUUGAGAAGUAAUCACCAUCAAUUAAGAUUCUGUGAUCUGAUUUAUGGUCAUUAUCUACGACAGGAAAAGAGGAUAAGCUCCAAACCUAAUGUGAGUAAUGAAAUCACUAACUCACUAGGUUGAACCGAUUUACUAGUUAUUACUUAGAUGAAAUGGUGCUCAAACUCUUCACAUGAAUCAUGCUUAGUUUUCCUUUGUUCUCCAUUUUAUUCUCUCCUGGUAUUGAUUUAUUCUCUCCUGGUAUCUAUACAGUGUUUUUCUCCUAUGUAGGUAUAUUGAAUUCCCGGGCUGUCUUACUUCCGAUUCUGACCCUGGUCCCCAUUGUUUCAUAAUGAAGAUUUUGAAUCUCUGAAGUUCAUGCGAAUCUCUCAUUGGUGUCCUUAAUAGGGUAAGGGCACUAAAUGAUUUCUAUAGUUUAUGUACUUCUCAUAUGUUUCUUUCUUGGGAUUCCCCUAAUGAAAUUCUGUUGGAUCCUCCUUGACUCUUCUAUUGAUUUCCAGAGUAUUUAUCUAAGGGGUUUAUACGAGAAUGGGAAUGUCUAAAGAAUCUAUGAGAAAAUUUAAAUUUUUACAAAGGUGAUCCUUCCUGGUCCUCCUAUAAUCACAUGGGGUGUACCGAUUAUAUAUAAUCCAGAUCAAAUAGACCUUCGAAUAAGUAAUCCUACUCUAAAACCACAUCCAAACAAGGAAAAGGAAGUAGAGUGAAAAUCACCUAUUCUAAGUCCAUAAAAUCUCGGCUAUAUAUAACCUUAACGUAUCCACUUAGUACUUAUAGACUUAUCAGAAAAGAUCUUUUUAACAUUUCCCAAAAGUUUAUUUAAAAUACUUCCAUGGUAUUUGAUUCUUGGACUUCCAGUUAUUAGAAGUUGAUAAGUUUUCAGUUUUCUUGUUAUAGCAUCCUAAAAUACUCCUAUAGUAUUUUAACCUUUGUGUUUGGUUCUACAAUUCAUCUGGUACCUAGGUAAGUUUUAGACUUGUUGCAACAAUACAAUUACUCCCAAACACAUGUUGGUCAUAUCUCAAAUGAAUAUAGUUGAUCAGGCUAUAUUGAUCCCAGAUAUGAUUACAUAACUGUCUAGGUUUAACUGUAAUGUUCAACAUCCAAAUACUUUUGUUUUGUUCCUCUUGUGAUACUCAUUCUAGUAUAUAUAUUCUGCAUGUACUUAUACUUUUAUAAAAUAUUGUUAUAUUUUUAAAGUAUAACUCUUGGUCAGAGUGUUUUUAUCCCAAUGGGUUUAUAGUUGUAUAUCUUUUAUGACUGAUAUACUGAGUUCACUAUAAACAAUGCUCCGAUACCAAUCUGUCACACCACCAAACCAGCACGGCGGAAACGUUCGGGGGCGGAGGACUUCAUGUAAGUAUCACAACACAUGCAAUAUAGUAAUCCAAGUACAAACAACCAUUUCAUUAAUAAGUAUAAGUUUUACAUAAGUGUUUAAACAUUACAUAUUCAAACACCAAAGUAGGUACAGUAGAAGACAAGAGUCGCGGUACGGUACUAGGUAGUCUUCUCAAGAGCUUCGGGAGUGUACCUGUCUACUGGAUUCCUGAGAAUACAAGUUAUUUGAAAAGAGUAGAUCAGCAUUUAAGCUGGUGAGUUCAUAAGUAUUUUAGUUCUGUAAAGUAUACUCUAGGUUCUUUGGAAAAGUUCACUGGUUCCUCCAGAAAAUCCUAUAUUUCCUGAGGUGAUAAACUGAUAACCUCAAUAGUUUCCCUCUGUAAUUACUUAGUUUAUAUUAAUUAUGUAUAACCUAAUAUCGAACUGACAGUGAAAUGGGUGUAUCUGCCCUAAGCCCACAACCAAACAAGGAACAGGAAGUAAGGCGGAAGUCACACAUUUCACUGUCAAUCGGAUAUUACUUAUAUAUAACUCUGAUGUAAUAACUAAGGACUUAUAGAAUUAACCACUAAAGGUCUUUUAUGUUAUACUAGUUUACAGAGAUUGAAUGACUAAGUUCCAUUUGAUGAGUGGUUUAAUUCCAUAACCCGUUUCAUUUGUAAAAGUGGUUUAAUCCCAUAACCGUUCCAUUUGUAAAAGUGGUUUAAUCCCAUAAACCGUUUCCUUUGUAUAAGUGGUUAAAUCCCAUAACCGUUUCUUUUGAAAGAGUGGUUUAAUUCCAUAAACCGUUUCAUUUGUAAAAGUAUUCUUAGUUAUAUAUGUUCUAUGGUAAAAACCUUAGUAUUAAUCCUGGAAAAUAUUAUAUUAUCCAUAAUACUGCCUUGUGGUUUUAAAUGUUCAAAAACAGAAGUACAAGUAUAUUUACCAUACUUGAUUUCAUGAUACGUAGCUUUUACUGUAAGUAAAAACUACAGAAGGUAUAUUUGGUCGGGAUGUAAUUAUCUUUUCUUACUGUUUUAAGAGAAGUAUAUUACUUAGUAAUUCACUCAUUGUUUUAUCCAUGUGAGUUCUAUUAACCAUACUAAUAUGACUGAUAUGCCUGCGGCGACGUUCUUCAGGCGUCGGAAUGGAAUGAUAUUUGACACCCUAGGCCUGCCGGCCAAACUGUAGCGAACAGUAGAGGUGCGGGAUUGUCAGUCUCAUAUAGAUCUAUACACAAAUUCACGCUCUCCCUACAAGAGAUUCUGGUUAAUAGGUCAGGACUUAAAGUCGUACUUAAAUAAGUACACCGUGAAGGGUCUCACAAAUUUAUUGUUUCAACGAGAUUUACGAUGUAUUAUUACCCCGUGAUUGCUAACCCUGGUACUCUGUAUCGUACCUUUGUUAAUGCAAACCCGGUAUGAUGUAUUAUUACCCCGUGAUUGCUAACCCUGGUACUCUGUAUCGUACCUUUGUUAAUGCAAACCCGGUAUGAUGUAUCUUUACUUCUUUAAUAUGUUAUUCGUAUAUUAAAGGCAUUAUACAUAUCCUGGUAUAGUUAAAUAAGUUUUGGUACUUUCCUUGGAAUGUGAAUCAUACUCGUAUAUUUAGUUUUGAAUCAUAAAUUAUACCUAUUAUAAUUUAUAUGCUCUAUCUGGUUAACAUGAUUUCUCAUGGAUGAACACCUUUGCUCAGCCUGAUACAUAGGUAAUGAUACCAAAACGAGUGACCUUUUUAUACUAGUAUAUGUAUAAUAUAUAUAAUUAAGAAGGAAAUGACCUUCGGACAAAUAACACAACCUUAACUCCACAUCCAAACAAGGAAAAGGAAAUAAGAUAAUUCAUUAGUCCUAAGUCCUUCAAAUCUUAUUUAUAUAUUUAUACAUAUAUAAACAUGAUUUUUGGCAUUUAUAAUUUGAAAUAGUUUAUAAAACAUUUUUCAAAGAAUUUAACGGAGUUUACAUGACUUUAAAUAUUUAACAUGGCUUUAAGUCAUUUUGGAUGUAUUUGGUAAUUCUUGAAAGCAUACGGAAACUAUUUGCGUGAUUAUUAUCACAUACGGUUAUUAACACAAUUUGAGAUUGUGUUAAACUUGUAUUCCCCCCUAAAAAGCAUUUAGAAACCAUUAAAAAUGUAAAUUAUAGGGGUAUGAACUCACCUUGAUAGGUGGUAAUUCGGGAAGCGUUUUGUUUCCUGGAAAAUAGUUUGUUUGAUGAAAAACCGGCUUAAAUCGGGCAGAGUUUCGACAGGAGAGAGGAUGAAUUNGGCUCCGGGGCUUGUUUCGGGCUUUAGACACAAUACCGAGGCCUUGGGGGGUCGUGAGAAAGUUUACAGGGUGGAAAUGUAAAAAAGGGGAAAUUUUGGGGUGAAAAACUCUUCAAAUGCGAGAAGGCUCGCACCCUUUAUAUAGGGGUGCGAGGGUUCGGUCCGAAGAAGUCAGGUGGCGAGGGAGAGGAGUCAGCAGCACACGCGUCGGACAUGCGAAGUGAACACGAGGCGAUGCUUCGGACGUGGAGGCUUCUGAGUGGUCCGAACUUCGGUCCAAUAGGAGAAGGCCACGAGGGUCCGCUGUGUGUCUCAUGCGAUGGUGUAAGCUUCUUACUGGACCGCAGCUGCGGUCCAAUCCGAUGGUGACGCGGCGAUUUGCGGUCCUAUCAGAAGGUGACACGUGGCAGCCUCGCAUGCGAGGGUGACGUGGCAGAAUAGUGACUAUGCGAUUUUCUCGGUUUUUGAGCAAAAAACUUCUAAAAUUCAUAACUUUUGGAUACGAACUCCGUUUUUGACGUUCUUUAUUUGCACACGUAGAUAAAAUUAUACUCUACGACUUUCGUUUAGACUUCGUCGACUAUUUUUGACUUUAUUUUUAAUAUUAUUAUUUUUAACAGACCGGGACAGGAAAAUCUGUUAAAAAUUCAUAACUUCUUCAUCCGACAUCCGUUUUCUUCUGUCUUUUUGCCGUUGUGCUACUUUUGAAGAGACCUUCGAUUCUCGUUUAAGUUGCAUCGGCUAAAUAUCGAUUGAUUUAUAUUUCAAAUUUUUAGCUGUCUACUGCUAAACCGAAACUUCGAAAAAUCAUAACUUCCUCAUACGAAGUCAGAUUUUGACGUUCUUUUUAUGAACGUUCUCGGUUUAACAUAUUCUACAACUUUUAUUUAGAUUGUUAAGUAUAAAAAGCCUUUUAUCGAAAAUUCGCUCAGUGUUUUGCCGGUUUUACCGCGGAUUUUCGAUUGGUCAUAACUUCUUCGUUAUAACUCGGAUUUCAGUGUUCUUUAUAUUUUUGGAAACCUUGUUACAAACUCUACCACUUGGUUCAUCCCAAUUAUGAUUAUAGAUCAAUAAAUUUUUGACCAAAAUUUGACUGGUGUCACAUAAACGCAACACAAAUCUCUCAAUUCGAGGAAGACGAAUGCAUAAUCCCAUGCAGCAAAACAACCCUACUUCACCCGAAAAUCUACAAUGUGGAAUCUUGAAUUUUGUCUGACUCUCUGACAGACCGCCCAUACUAGCUCUCGCUAAUUCCAUUCCCUUUAUCCCCUAAACAGUCUACACAACCCUGGAAACCAGAGAUUCCUACCAGAAAAUAGAACCGCAGAUCAUACUCUGAUGCCGACAACUCUUAUUGGACAAAGAGAUUCGAUAAUCCUUCCAAAGAAAGCCAAUAGUGAUAAUAAAAUUUCCUAGGAUAUGAUGAACAACGAGAGAUAGCUGGGAGUUGAACCUUCUUGUGCCAACCAGAAAUGCUUCCUUUAACUCUCAAACCAAUGUAAAUAUCACUGCUAGCCCAUAACCACAAACACCCAUGACUGGCCCGAUCAGCCUUGGGCUGGAAUAUCAACAUGUUGAAUCCAAUAAACCAUUGGGUUAAAUUCUCAGGGUUUGUUGGCCUACCGCCUCAACCCUACCGCUCCCUCGGAGCCUUCGUGCCUACAACUUACAGUCGGCCCGCACCGGGUAUCUUGGUCUACUGCCUCAACCCUACCGCUCCUCCUGGGCAUCCGUGCCUAUGACUUACAGUCAGGUCGCACCGGGUAUCUUGGCCUACUGCAUAAAACAGGACCGCUUCAACCUGCCCAAAUACAAUGUGCCGCCAUAAACAAUCAGGAGAAAGAUCUAACCUGGUUCCCAAAACCUGAUAGACAGGGUCAUUCUAACCCCAACAACCCUAGAUUUCAGCAUCGAUGACAUCACACCUUUCGCAUGAAACUUGCGACUCGCACCUCAAACCAAAAGAUUCCCCCAAUUACCUCACUAACCUCCAGAAUUCAUGCCUCACAUGGAUACACUUGCGAUUCCCAUAGCCAGUUUCCACUACAAACCAUCCCGAAAUGGCCAUCCAUAAAUCCACCCCAAAUUUCUAACUGAAGAUACCACAAUCAUGCAGAAACAGUGGUUAAACAGGUCGAUAGCUAAUCUUACCCAAACCAAAUUCAUAUGACACACCAAAACCUUAGUAUAACCUUUGACCCUCUGCCAUGCCAUUACCAAACUCUGAAUCGAAGAAGGAAGAUGAUCAAACCAAGAACUUCCGCAUUUCUUCCGAUCCAUAACAAUAACUUGCGAAAAAUCAUAAAUACGGAGCAAACAUUCCACAAAUUCAUUCUAAUAUCUGACUGGAACUCCCAACGGCCCUUGACCAUUCCCUAUCCAAACCAACUGAUUUAUGGGUUCUCCAAUCCCCAUCAACGCGUCACUACUAAGAGUAUCAUAAAUAGACUAAAUGAAUAAUCCUGACCAUUAGGCCCACAAACCAUCACUGGAAUGCUCCUGAUCUCAUACUGACCUUGUCGGUAUUACAUUGCUUGCCUAACCUUAUGGGUUCUAAAGAUACUCUCCUAAUUUCUCUACCUUGAGGGGACCUAAUCACCGUCCUGCACAACACUGAACGUGCACCACUAUGUUGCAACCCUACCACGUACAAUUCACUUAUAGAACAAGCUGCUACCCAAGAAAAUGCUUACAUACCAUGGUCGCACACGACCCGCAGGCAGGAUAAUGGUUGAUCCCUUGAUCUAAUUCGAAGGCUAUAACCCUACCGAACCCUCACAUAAGUCGAACCGAACUCCAAUGGUGCCAUUUACACCAAAGUAUCACCUUGAUCUAGACUGAACAGAUACCAUCAAUACGCAUCUAGCUCCCGAAUACUUCCAAGGCGAUCCCAAAAGUUGCCAAACCCAAGUCUGCUAUGAAUAUGAAAUUUCACUCUACCGCUGAGGGAGAACUUACCCAGGGACCAAGGGAAACGCAAACACACUGCACUGGAGGGUGUGUGACCCAUUCCUUUCUCUUAACUGUUGCCUCUUGAAUCCUUUGAGGAUUUUUUGCUAAAAGACGAACUCAAUGAUCAAUGGUCGAGGACAUCCUGACACCUAAACCCGAGAAUCACAAACCCACCUGGAGCUGAACAUACCCGCUUCUGGAGAGGUUCACCGAUUAGUAUCUACCCAACAAAUCUAAAACAACAGUCUGAUCAACAACUAACAAAACCUUCAAUGCCUGACACUCAACCUAAGAAUUCCCAAUUAUCCAUCACUUAGGUUUCUAACUAACAUCCAUUGGCUUAAAACUAAUCCAUAACUCAAAACGGCUUAACCAGGUACUAUCAUUCCUGACCUCAGAAUGAAUGACAUGCACGAAAGGAUCCUCCCGAUCCGGAUCAAUCGAAUCCCAAGAGAAACCUAAAUUUCGGCUGAAAACUUCCGACAUGCAGAAUGGCAUGUAACGACCCUCAAUAACCAAAAAUAGUAGAAAGUCAACCCGGGAUAUUGAUGGGUUUGAGCCAAAAGAACAUCCUAUAUGCUCAUGUAAACCUUAAUGCUUGGAUCUAGGUUUCUCUAAUUGUACAUGCAUUCAUCCAAGACUUUCAAACCCUAGAUCUAAUGAGAAUAAUUCGAAAUUAAUGUGACAAAUUAGAUCUAGAUGAUUACCUCUUGUUGCUUGCUUGAAUCUUCUUAUCUUUGAAGCUUAGAGUCACAAGUGUCACUUAUUGUCCAACAGUUUGUUUCUCGAUCUCUGAUUCAUUUGACAUAGAACUUAAUUGAACACAUCAAUUCAGUCCUGACCGGUCCCAGCACAUAAGUUAAACCAAAUCAUCGAGGGGGCCUGAUAUUGCUUUUACCCUCUUAGGAUAAAAGGAACAGAUAAAAUUCGACUUAUAUGCAUUUAGUAUCCACUAAUCAAAUCAUACAUAACAAUAAGUUUUAUAACAUCAAGUUACUGAUGUGUUUACACAUUAUCAAUGCAUACUCAACUAGUAAACAAUAAACCAUAUAUCUAGGUUUUAAGACCAUAUGAUAUUAUCGUCUUGCGAUCACUCGAGAUAAAUUCCAUGAAGUAAUUCCAGCAAGCGUGGGUUUAUUCCAAUGCUCAAAUCAAACUCAUAAGCACUCAUGAACAUUGCAGCAAACUUUUGCUUUGUCUAAUACACUUUAGACAAUCUACACACCAAUUUAUGACAGUCUUCAUUUAUACCUACUUCCAACAUAUGAACGACUGUGGACGGUUCGAAUUAGGGAUGAAAAUGGGUCCACACCCGGACCGGAUGGACCCAGACCCGGAAAAACUGGAACCGUUUAACAAGAUUUCUUAGAACCAGCAACCAGACCGGAUUAUAGGAACCGGUUCCGGGUACGGUACGAGUAAAGUGGGUCUAGAACCGAAAAACCCGGAAAUAGAAAAGUGGAUAAGGUGGAACCGGGUAAAUUGGGUUUAGAACCAGAAAACCCGGAUUUUUUUUUGUAAUUACCUCAAUCGCAUAAUCUUUCAACCGUUAUAAAAAAAUUAAUAAAAAAAAAUUACACUUACAUUAUUGACCACAUUGAUUUAAAAAAAAAAGUAACGUAUAUUAAUUGUAAUAUCAAAGUUGGUUAUAUCAAUUUGAGACCUGAGACUCUCAAAUAAAGCGAUAGUUCUUUAACUCACCCAAGCUAGUUUCUUUAAUUGUAAUAUCAAAGUUUGUUAUAUCAACGUGGAUUAAUUACUAAUGGUCAUUCAUCUUUACUUUGCCAUAAUUGUCUUCAACUUGAGAUAUGUAGUAUGUACAGUACGUCAACUCCCUUCUCCAAUUUAAUUUAUGUAUUUGACUAUUUUGAAGUUCAACUGAGAUGGAUUUGAAGCACAAGACGGGAAUGUUUUUGUUGAUUUCCCUCAAUUUUUGUCGAUCGUCCACAGAGAAAGCUUAAAAAAACGAGUCACCGAUCACAGAGAAGUAGAUCAUCGAUUCGUCGUCACCCAAGUACAUGAACACGGGAAAAGAAACUGGUCGUAUUCCUGUUCUACAAUAAACAUGUUUCCUAUACCCAGUUCCACAUUAAACCUAAUCCGGUUCUUUGGCCCACUAAACCCGGACCCGGUCCAUUAAACCCGGUUCCGGUUUUUUAAACAAAACCAGUUCAAAAACCCGGAUUAACCGGAACCGUUGGACCCAUACCCGAAAUACCUGGAACCCGGAUAAGAGUAAUUUUGAAACCCAAUACCUUGACCGUUUGAGUAUUUUCCGGUUAUACCAGUUCCAGUUCCGGUCCGGUUUUCCGGUUUUAUAACUCAUCCCUAGUUCGAAUAAUCUCAUUAUUCAGGAAGUCAAAACAUGCAAAGUGAAACAUUAGGUAAACAAUUAAUAUAAGACAGUAACAUUACUUAUAAAUAAUACUCUUUUAUUUAAUCAUCAAAUGUUAAUUACAAUUUAUCUAUUACACGUUUCUAAACUAUCUAAUCUAAACUAAUAUCGUCCUUCAGCCCGAUGAUCCUAGCAUACUGCAAGUGCUUAACCCUACUCAAUCCCUUUGUAAGCGGAUCUGCUGGGUUAUCCUCUGACAAUACCCUCUUUACUACGAGGAGUCCUUCUUCCACUCGAUGUCGAAUAAAGUGAUAUUUUAUGUCGAAAUGUCGAGAUCUGCCGUGAUCCCUCGGUUCCUUGGUCAAGGCAACCGCUCCUUCAUUAUCACAGAAAAUUUCCAUGGGCUUCUUUAUGGCUGGCAUAACUCCAAGGUCCCCAAUGAAGUUCUUCAACCAUAUUGCCUCCUUUGACUCUUUGCUUGCUGCAAUGUACUCUGAUUUGCAUGUUGAAUCAGCUACGGUUUCCUGCUUGGAACUUUUCCAAGUCGCUGCUUCUCCAUUAAGGGUAAAGACCCAGCCCGAAUGCGAAUGCUAGUUGUCCCUGUCGGUCUGAAAACUGGCAUCACUGUACGCUCGCACCUUUAAGUCAUCACUCCCACUGAGAAUUAGAAACCAUUCCUUGGACCUCCGAAGGUACUUAAGAAUGUUCUUGAUUGCGGUCUAAUGUGCUUUGCCAGGGUUCCCUUGACAUCUGUUGACCAUGCUUAGAGCGAAGGCCACAUCAAGGAGAGUAUAAGUCAUUGCGUACAUAAUCAAGCCAACUGCGGAAGCGUAUGGUACUUGGCUCAUUUUUGCUAUCUCGACUUCGGUACUCGAGCUUUGAGUCUUACUCAACUUGCCAUUACUUUAGAUCGGUAACUCCCCCUUCUUUGAAUUCUCCAUACUAAAACAUUUUAGUACCUUGUCCAAGUAAGUGUUCUGACUAAGUCCUAUUAGUCUUUUACUUCUGUCUCUCACUAUACGUAUUCCCAAAAUAUAGGAAGCCUCUCCAAGGUCCUUCAUAGUGAAGCACUUCCCGAGCCAGGACUUAACCUCCUGCAGUGUUGGGAUGUCAUUUCCUAUGAGAAGUAUGUCAUCGACAUACAAUACGAGGAAGCUAACUAUACUCCCACUGGCUUUGAAAUAUACACAUGAUUCAUCCUUGCUUCGUAGAAAAUCAAACUCUUUGACUUUCUCAUCGAAGCAAAUAUUCCAUCUGUGAGACGCUUGUUUCAGUCCAUAAAUGGACUUCGCAAGUUUGCACACUCUAUCGGGAUGCUUCGCAUUAACAAAACCCUCUAGCUGAGCCAUGUAAACAUACUCAGCCAACUUCCCGUUAAGGAAAGUGGUUUUGACAUCCAUUUGCCAUAUUUCAUAGUCAUGAAAUGCAACAAUGGCUAAAAUAACCCUAAUAGGCUUUAUCUUAGUAAUCGGUGAGAAGGUUUCAUCAUAGUUAACUCCGGGAGUUUGAGUGAAACCCUUCGCGACCAGUCGCGCCUUAUACGCGUGCACAUUCCCAUCCAUGUCGGUCUUCUUCUUGAAGAUCCACUUGCACCUGACCGUGUUACGUCCUGGUACAUGGUCAGCCAAAUUCCAAACUUGGUUUUCCUAUAUGGACUGAAUCUUGCUGUCCAUCGCCUCUUUCUACUUCACAGACUCUGGGCCUGCCAUGGCUUCCUAAUAGUUGUUAGGUUCAUCCAAAUUCACUAGUUUACUAUCAAUAAUGAACGUAUCCCCUUUGGUAGUUAUAUGAAAACCAUAAAACUGGGGUUGAAACCUAACUCUUUCGGAACGUCUAAGAGGUAAGGACUCAUCAAUUGGUUCAAACGGAGUUUCCUCCUCGGGUUGAGUGCUAGCGUUAGAGGUUCCUUCAUCGGUCGAAUCCAGAAGCUCUUCAAGAUCGAUUUGCCUCCCAUUGUCCCCUUAGCUUAUGAGUUUUCGCUCUCGGAAAACCCCUCUCCUCACAAUGAUGACAACAUUGUCACUCGGUCUAUGGAAGAGAUAUCCACAGGACUUCUGCGGGUAGACGAUGAAAAUACACCUCUCACUAUGAGGUUCGAGCUUUUCGUGAGUCUCUCGUCUUAUGAAAGCCUCACAACCCUAAACCUUGAUAUGUGCCAAUGAGGGAGCUUUCCCUGUCCACAUUUUGUGAGGUGUUUUGGCAACUUUCUUCUUAGGGACUAAGUUAAGGAUAUGAGCGGCAGUCUCUAAGGCAUACCCCCAUAAUGAGAUACGUAGUGAAGCAUGAAUCAUCAUGGAAUGAACCAUGUCCAACAAGGUUCGAUUAUGCCUCCCAGCUAAACCAUUCAGCUGUGGUGUCCUAGGUGGCUUCAAUUGCGAAACGAUUCCGCAUUGCUUGAAAUAGUUGUGGAAUUCAAGACUUAGGUACUCUCCUCCUCGAUCGGAUCGAAGCAUCUUGAGUUUCAUGCCCAACUGAUUUUCCACUUCUUGUUUAAAUUCUUUGAACUUUUAUAAGGUUUCUGACUUGUGCCUGAUCAAGUAGAUAUACCCAUAUAUAUAUACUAUAAUCAUUGGUAAAAGUCACGUAGAAGCGGCCUGCAUCCUUUGUGGUGGAUCUAAAGGGCCCACACACAUCAGUGUGUAUGAGAUCCAAUAAACUCUCACCCCUUUCACAAGUGUCAGUAAAGGGUGACCAAAGAAGACUCACACACAUCAUCUUCCCUAAGGUCAAAUGACUCUAACACUCCAUCCUUUUGGAGUUGGGCUAUGCGUUUCUUGUUGACAUGUCCAAGACGACAAUGCCACAAGCAUGCUUUAUCCAAACCAUUGGAUGAAUAAAUACACAACACAUCAUUUCUUAAGUUAUCUACAACCAUCAAAAUUUCAUAUAUUCCAUUACAAGACAACGCUUCAAAAUAAAAGACACCAUCAAGAUAAGCAUUAAUAGAGCCCUUUUCAUUAUCAAAUGAAUAUCUAAAACCUUCUCUAUAUAAACCAUGAAAUGAAAUGAUGUUUCAUGCCAUAUCUAGCAAAUAGCAACAAUUGUUUAGAUCUAAUCCUAAUCCACUACUGGGAAUUAAAGAGUAAACUCCGAUCUUGGUGACAGUCGACGAUCUUCUAAUCCCCAUGAUCAAAUUUAUCUUUCCAUGGUCCACAUCUCUAUCUCUUCUUAGGCCCUGCAAAUCAGAACAAAUGUGAAAACCACAUCCUGUAUCAAGUGCCGAAGAAAUGGAAUGUGAUGAAUCAUUAGAUUUAAUUGUGUAAAUACAUGUGUAGGAUAGCUUGAUCUUCCCAUCCUUGAUUGCUUCAGAUAUUCUGGGCAGCUUCUCUUUCAAUGCCCUAUCUUGCGGCAGUGGUGGUACUCUGCCUCCUUGGGGUUUGAGUUGGGUUGAGCAGAACCAACUUUGGUUCCACUAGAAGAGGUACCAUCUUGGGACUUUCCCUUGUGGUGGAUCUUUGAGGGAGCCUUCCUGUUCUUACCCUUCCCUUGCUCAAUAGCCAAAAAAGGGGGUAACAGUUGGAGCGGGAGUUGAUGCAAAAAUCUUAUCUUUGAGAUUGCUCUCAGCAGUCCUUAGCAAGCCUUGAAGCUUGCUUAAAGUGACCUCUUGCUUAUUCAUGUGGUAGGUCAUGCGGAACAUGUUGUAGCAGGGAGGCAAGGAGUGAAGGAUGAUGUCAAUCUCCAUCUCUUCAUUAAAGUUAACAUGCAAUUUAGCAGGCGAUCAACAUAUCUCUGGAUCUUUUGCAGAUGGGUUGUAAGGGACUCUCCAUUACCCAUUCGGGUAGUGAUCAUCAAAGUAAUGAUCUCAGACCUUUCUUGCCUUGCACUUUGGUGGUACCGGUCCAGUAAGUCUUGAUGCAUCUCAUAGGGAUACAUGUCCUUAUAGGACUUUUGGAGUUCGGAAGUCAUUGUUGCUAGCAUGAUGCAAUGAACUUUCGUGGCAUCACGCUCGUGGGCCUCAAAGGCAACGAUCUCUUCGGGAGUGGCAGUGUUCAUGUCUAUCUCCUUCAGCUCCUUGUCAAGGACAUACUCUUUGUCCUCGCAUCUGGUGAAAUUUCUUAUGUUACGGGUCCAAUCAAUUGUUUCCGUCAAAUAUCACCCUCCCACACAAGUUCAUAAGUGAGAAUGAGCUAGAGGAAUUCGAGCAGGAAGCAUUGUUGUUGUUCAUGUUCGACAUCUGAAUAGGAAAAGAACAAAGUUUGAUUAGAAGUGAAUCCCUAAUUAAACACUCAAAUGAGAAAUUAGGGCUAGGAUCCAACAACAUUAUUUACAUGUUAGAAAAGGGAUGCCGUAACCUAAUAUGAAAAUAAUUUGAUGGUAAGUGAAUGACGAUUCACUAAUUCUCCACCAUGAAAAGCGAAAAGGGGAUUAAGAUUUAAAUGUAUUGAAAACUCCUAGAUCUUUUGAGAUUCAUUGAACUUUUCAAUGGCAUGUUUAAAUCUCGAUAUGCCCCUCUAGUUUGUGACUGGAAUGCCUAGGAUCACAAAGAGUGGUGUGAAUAACCAUGCAAAUAUACAUGGUGCCCUCAUUGUUACAGUCACCUAUUCAAUGUGCCGGUUAACCACACACGCUCCAUUGAACUAUGACAAACAAUGAGUCACCCUUUGCCACCUUUGCUUAAAACCCAAUUAGUGUGUCGGUUAACCACACACGCUCCACUAACGUCUUAGCAAGGGUACAAAGUAUAAUUUCAUGGAAUUGCAUCAAUUCACUUUUGCCUAAACUAAAUAAGAUUGAGAAUUUCGUAAAAACAUUUAGUUACUUUUAUAAUUCAUUAUACUUAUUAAUGAGAAAGGGUUGCCUAUCCUACCCGUUCGGCUAACGACCCUCCACCAAUCAAGGAAGCGGUGGAUGAGAGUGGACACCCAUUAAAUGGCCAUAACCUNNNNNNNNNNNNNNNNNNNNNNNNNNNNNNNNNNNNNNNNNNNNNNNNNNNNNNNNNNNNNNNNNNNNNNNNNNNNNNNNNNNNNNNNNNNNNNNNNNNNNNNNNNNNNNNNNNNNNNNNNNNUUAAUCUUAUAAUAUUAAAAAUUAUAAGGUUAAAUUUUAAACUUGUAAAAUUCUAGGGUUUGAAAUUUAAAUAGUUCAAAUUAAACAUUUUAAUCAUAAAGUUUAAAUUUCAAAACUUGAGGACAGGUUUUGAAUUUUUCAAAACACAAAGGAUCAAAUAGCAAAUAAUUUUAAAUUAAUCAAUUAAUUUAAUGAUUAUGUAAAUUUGACCUGAUCAAGAUUAUUUACAAGAUAACUCACCAGAUAAAUUAAAUAAUAAAGUAUUAUCAUAUAAGGAAUUUAUUAUUCAAAUAAAUGGUAAUUAUCUUUUAAUUUGGCAAGGAUAAUCAUAAAACAAUCAUAAAAUUUAGAUUUUAUUAGCCAAAAACGAUUUAGGUAAUUAUCCUUAAGCAAAACAACAAAUAAUCCUGAAUAUCCCUCUAUCUGACGCUCCGACUCCUCGAGUCACUAAAUGGACUCGCCGAGUUGGGCUGACUCGCCGAGUCCAGAUAGUGACUCGCCGAGUUAGGUCGGGCAGAGGUAAAAAACGAUUUUUCACAUGCAUCAAAUACAAUAGAAACCAAACAAAUAUCUGAUACCACUGAUGGGUUUGAGCCAAAAUAACAUCCUAUGUGCUCAUGCAAAUCCUAAUGCUUGGAUCUAGGUUUCUCUAAUUGUACAUGCAUUCAUCCAAGACAUUUAAACCCUAGAUAUAAUGAGAAUAAUUCGAAAUUAAUGUGACAAAUUAGAUCUAGAUGAUUACCUCUUGUUGCUAGCUUGAAUCUUCUUGUCUUUGAAGCUUAGAGUCACAAGUGUCACUCCUAUAAUGGCUUAUAAACACCAAUUGCAAAUGAAUGAUAUUGGAGAGAGGUUGCAAGAGGCAGAAUUUCAGCUAUGAUCUUUCAAGGGUUUCAAGUGGCCGCAAAUUGUAAGCCUUAGGGUCAUAUUUAUACUAGAGUUGCUAAGGUUUCAGCCUAAACCCUAAUGGACAGCUUAGGCCUUAAGCUCUCCAAGGAAGCUUUUGGAAUAGGGCCUUAUGGCCGAAAUUAUGGAUGAACACAUCCUAAUUUUGUCCACGCCAUGUCCAAGAGGCUCCUCAGCCCAAUGUUCAACUAUCACACAUUUGACAGUUUAAGUCCCUAUUAUAAAAUUAAUGUCUUUUAGCCACAUAAUUAAUUUCACAAUUAAUUCUUGUCUAAUAUUAAUUUGAUUAUAUGAUUUCUCCCUUAAUAUAUUAUUCAUAUAACAUAUUAAUAAAUCAUAAUAACCUCUUUCUUAAUAAAUCAUCCUAUCAUGUUGCUUCGAUGAAGGCAACCCAAAAGGACCAUGCACAACCGGGUCAAUUACUUACCAAAUAUAGUUAUGGGCUUAGACACUAAUCCAACAUAUAUAACUUACCCAAUCCAGCAAAAUUCCAACAUAAUACAAUUCCCGAUACAAUCCCAAUGACAAUUCGGUACCCGGCCUAUUCGAGAAUAUUGUACCUAACUUGCCUCGCAAGAUACUCAUGCCACAACGAUCCACUUGCGCUCACCAAUGCUGAAAUAAUGUUGCCGACCCCUAUGACCAACUAACCCAAAGCUAGAAACACAACCUGACCCAGGGGUCACAAGCCUGUUCACUCCUUCGAACUCGGAAAAACUAAAAGGCACAACCAUUGCCAAAGAAAACGACAUUGUAAUCUGUCAAUCAUUCAUUUUACUCCAAGCUACAAAAACUCGGCCGAUUAUAAUCAUCGUUCCCUUCCCGAGUCCCGUGACUCGCAUCCCGGCCUAGAGAAAAACCCCAGAAGCCUCAAACCAAAGAACUCAAUAGGUCUGCACCACACAACCAAAAUCGAUAACGUCACUGGGCUAACAAAAAGUACCAGGACCAUCCUCAUGUCUGAGCAGCCGCAAUCCAAAAGAUCGAUAGGAAUAGAACCACUGCCACGAACCAUGGUAUCUAACCAUGCUACCAUCCCUGACCAGCCCUUAGAAUCCCCGAGAUCUUCCUUGAUUCAAGUAUGGAUCUUGUGUUUUCAGUAAUAUGGGCCCAAUACUACCUUCCACACCUAUCCAUACUUUCCUCAAGAAUUAUCUCAGGUCCUCUAAGUCCUAGUGACAAAAUAUUUUUGAAACCUGCUUCUUGUUGAAACAAUCGCACUAAAUACUCCCUAGGCUAUCCUAGGACUCAACAACACCCCCAUCUGCCAUCAGCUACUGAAGAACCCCUACCAACACCAACUAACCACUUCACAAAUACAAUUACCUGCAACUAAGCAUAAAUAAUCCUUCAGCUAAAGGACCCAACCCUACAACAGUUGGACUAAGACGAGAGUUGCGCAAUAGAUCCGGGUCCUUUAUCCUAAGAUUAUUUAACCCUCAUAGCAUGUAAUUUAAUGUAUUCAUUUGACGGUUAGCUCUCAUCAACAUGGGUCCCACAAAGCACAAAGCAAGCGGCAUUUGAGCAGAGAACCGACUAGCACUAAGAUGCAAUAAAAUUAGACAUAUCCUCCUGUAAAACCCUUGAUCUCAGACUUCCAGCACCUUGCGCGCAUCUUCGCCCUGCCCUCACUCUCUCUUGAGUGGCUAAUCCUUCCUCAUGCCAACCCGCUAUGAAAUGCGCCCAAACCAGGGAAACCACCGCUAGCUCAACAAUAACACGACUGGCCGGUUGACCUCAUACGACUCGUCCAUACCAUGCUUGCCACACGACUCUCCAUUAGUUCCAGAUGACUAUCACAUGAAUACAAUUGCAUACCCCACAGUUUAAACAAACCUAGGCUAAAAGAUUAAAUCCCAUAAUGGUUAGACUCAAACGAGAGCUAGGCUGUAGGACCAAAUCUCUCAUCCUAGAAUCCUAUAAACCAUGCAACAUGUGACUUAUUGUAUCCACUCAAUAGCCAAUUCACACGUGAAAGAUUCAUAGAUCAUCCUAACAAGAAAACUAUAUAGGAACUAAGGCAUCACAUAAUUAGUCAAUUUUACCAUGCAAUUCCAGAAGAUCCUUAGCCUAUUGCUAGCAUUCUAUUCUAACCUAUCAAAACAUAUCAUAAGCUCAAAUAACUGUGUGGUAAUUUGGGGUCUACUUACUGGUUAUGGCUGAUCGUACACAUCACAUCCUCUUUUGUAUUUUGAAAACCAUUUGAAAAUCUUUUCCUUAGUUUGAGAAUGGAUUCACACGAGUGUUCCUCCUAUUCACUCAAACCAAUGCUCUAAUACCAAAUUGUAACAUCCAUAAAAUUUCGGUAAAAUUUAAAAUUUCCAAAAAAAUCGUUUUUCUAUAGAAGUGUUUACAAAAUCGUUGUUCCAAAACAUUUAUUUAAAAACCGGAAUCAUUUACACAUAGUUUUGAAAACAUUCACAUUAUCGGAGUUUCCCAGAAACCAUAAAACCAAAACGUGAGGAUGUGUACGGUCACGUAUUCGCUUUGCCAACAUCUGAAGCACCCGAAACAAUAAACUGAAACCGUAAACACAAAGCUUAAUGAGUUCCCCCAAAGUACCAACCCACAAACACUAGCACAUAUACAAAUAACAACAUGCAUAUAGAGUCUUCAGCAUGACUAGACCGCCCUCACCGGGCCUGUAGUCUAUCUGGCUCACUAUCAGAACCUUUAGCAUGCCUGGUCCGCCCUACCAGGCCUUUAGCCAAUCUGGACCGUUCUCCAGAUAUAGAGUCUCCAGUAUGACUGGACCGCCCUCACUGGGCUAUUAGUAUGUCUAACCCACUCUCAGAACCUUCAACACUACUCUUCCACCCUAACCGGGCCUUCAUCUUGUCAGGACUGUUCUCUGGGCCUUCGGUGUGACUAGUACGCCCUGAUGGGUCUGCAGUAUAUCCGGGACGCCCUUGGUAUGUCGGCCUUCAUCACAAAGCAAGACCGCGUCAACCCAACCACACACACAAGCCAUGUCGACAUAUAAUAGAUAAGCAUACAUAUAAUGUACCGAUAUAAACAUUUCCAAGUUUGUUGACUAGCAGCACAAAGCAAUAUAGUCUCAACCCAACCAUACUAAGGCAGAUCUAACAAAUCGUUAAUCAUAGCAUCAUCCUAUCUACCAAGAUACCGAUCUACGUAUCAUAACAACAUAGCAACAUCCUAUCUACCAGGAUAUCGAUCUAACAAAUCAUAACAACAUACAAGCAUACAAUAACCAUGAUAACAAUCCAAAGGGUCGGCAUUGGGGCCUUCGACACUUCUAGUACAGUGAGGAAAACGCACCUCGCGCUACUAAAGCAUGCAGACGAUCCCUGACCGUUGACUGCCAGAUCCCGAACCACGAUCAUUAAGAUAGAACUCCAACGAAGUUGAUUCCAUGAAGAAUCUUUGACUGCAGAUCUGCUCGCACACACACGCUAAUAGAUUCUGAAAUGACAAUCCAUCAAUAUCUAGUUGUUGACGCAUACAAUGAAUAUAUAUUAGGGAAAAGACCUUUUUACCCUUCCUCAAGCUUCGCCCUAAGCCAAGGCCCAAACUAAAUGACAAAAGGUCUAAUAUCAAAAUAAACUCCUUAAGUCCAAUUAUGGCCCAAUUUUCCAAAUUGGGCCUAAUAGCCUUCACUAAAGAAGAUCCAACAAGCUAAAGCCCAAACCAUAAAAUCCCAGACGGUCUAUCACAACCUAAUGCAAGCCAAACCCAAAUCUUGAUCCAAAGGCCCAAACCACGUCAAGCCCACACUUUGCCCAAUUUUCCAAAUUGGGCCUAACUUCUUAUUGGGAUUUAUCCAAAGUUUUGAUCCUCUACUUAGCCCAAGAGACACCCAUCCAGAUUAACCACUAGGGCCUAAGUAUCAAAGCCCAAUAGAUUGCCCAAUACCCGAAGCCUAAAAACUGAAGCCCAAUAGGGGACGUACACGGGGUGUAGCACUUCAAUAUGCUGGGCGUACCCAACUUCGCAUUGACCCAUUAUGGGGGGUUUGACUUCGAAUGCGGGGCAUUCAACAACUUAUGUUGGGCGUACCCUCGCAGGGACCAAAAUCAUGAUAAAUUCUUAAUGUCUCAAGCACUUACGCCCAAAGUUUAGAUCCACAACUCAAAUGUGCUCUAGAACCAUAAAGUCUCAAAGUUUAAGAUUUUGGUCGACCAAAUAGGGCUUAAUACAUGGUCUUAAUCUAUUAAGACCUCCUACAAAGAACUAGGGACCAAACUAGCUCAAGACCUCAUUUUUAUGCCUUGAGACCCAUCCUAGGGUCUGAAAGGACAACACAACUCGAACGAAAUAAAGCAUGCACAAUAUUAGGACUCUUCGAACAUGAAGAAUACCAUAAAGUAACCAAAACAAGAUCUAAACAAUCCAAGCAUAAAGGUAGAAUCUUUAUACCUUCCAAAGCUUCCCAAGAUGGUGAUAACUCCAGAUCUACAAGCUUGAUCCCUUCCUUGAAUCCUUCGAUGCACAACUUCUUCUUCAACUACCCAAGAGGCACACGUUUAGCUCACACACACAAAAGAAUGGCUAGGGUUUGGGGAAAAUAGCUCAAAAAUAUGGAGGUUUGAAGGAUAGAGGGUAAUGAGCUCAUAAGGACACUUAUAUAUCACCCAAACCCUAAAUAUUAGGGUUUCAUCUUGGCACUCGUACGCACAGCAUACUAGGGCACGCCCUAGUACGCUUAGUAUACUCACAUGUACGCGCAACGCACUUCUCAAGUUCCCAAAAUCAUCGUUUUUGCCACUAGGGCCUUCCCUUUGCCACUUCUUUCCAAACCAAAGGCCAAAAUGACUUAAUUCCAAGUCCAAGGGAUGGAUUUGAAGUUACCUGAAAGAUGGGAUGUUACAAAAGAUAAGGGAUCAAUUACCAAAAAUAAAACCCUAUUUCAUAAGGCAAGGCAAUCGACCGACUUAUGGGAUUUUAAUAGGGUUCGUCUAUUUUUUCUUGAGGUAUAUAAUGCAUGAAUCAAACACAAUCAUCCAUCUUUUCUUGGGCUACAAUUGGCAGUUAGGUGGAAGAGAAGAAAUAAACAAUCACGAUGUUGAAUUAUGACGAGGCAACGGAGGGAGUGAAGACAGGGGAAACUGAAAUUCGAGGUUCUAGCUAUAUUAUUUCCUUCAUCGGAUAAGCUAAAUCGAAUUCCUAAUGCAUUCCUAGCGAGUUAGAUUUCUAAUCAAUCAUCAAGCCACCAUUAACAACCCUUACAGCUUCCAUAGGUGCAGUAUAGCACCACCUUGGCAUGGUGGUUGUAGUUUGACCGAAUUCCAAUCCUUAGGGAUGUUUUCCUGAUGUAUUUUGCUAUCAAAACCAUGUAUAAACAUACUCUUACGUGUUGGGUUUGGUGAAUAGGUCCUUGUGUUGGAUUUUAGUCUUACAUAUGUCUUUUUGGCCAUGUAAUCAACAUAGUAAAGCCUUGAAUGCUACUCUCUUUUUCUAGCCAUACAUAUGUGAAGAGAAGAAUUUAUAUACAUUUUAAAGUUGUUGGAAAAUUGUUAAUAAAAUCCUUGUUUUUAUGCCUUUCUAAGUGGACGUAUUACAUGCUAAAAGAUGUACAUCAAGCUUGAAAGGUCAUGUAAAUUUUGUUUUUCGUCUUGUGUUGCUGCCCUAACACCAUAAUCAAAGAGCUGAAAUAACAUCUUUGUAUGUCAUAUAAUUCUUUCCUAAAGUUCACUCAAUAAUAAUCUUAGUAUGUUUCUUGAAUUGGAACUCAAUGAAGUCUUGGUUUGUGGGUGUUGAGUUAUGUGUUUUGUGUGAUUAUAGCAUCCUACUUUCAUUCUUGUUCCAAUAAUCUUUUUGGUGUUUUCACUAAGUACUCAAUUCAGGUCUUAAUGCUCUUAUUCAAGGCCAAGUGGUCGAAAUUUUAAUAAUCUUAAUCCCUUGGCUAAAUCCUUUUUGUGUUUGUUGACUUUGGCUAAUAUGAUAUAUUUCAAUUUAUGUCUAAUUUAGUUAAUGUUUAUGUUUGAAAAUGAUGUGUUAAUUAGAUAUGCUUGUUUGCUAGUUGCAAUGCUUAGGGUCUAAGCUGAUAUUUGACUCCUUUGUGAUGAUUAAGAUGUUUAUGGUUUGCUAGCAUAAAUUUGAUUGAAAUGAUGAUAGUUUUCUAUGCUUUAGUAAAUUGUUGAUGAUUUUGGUGAAUAUUAUGAUAUGGCUUGAUCGUAUGAAAUUGCAUGUUUUAUAUGAAGAAUUAUUGAAUUUUGUACGACGUUGCAUAUUGGGUUCGGUAGUUUAUGACACUUUCCUUAAAAUCUAUUUGGAUAGCUUUGGUGACCUAUUAGGUUUAAAGAUGACCUAAAAAAAAGCUUAAUCUACUUUGGUGUUAGUCGCCUGGUCUAUCUAGAAGAUCUGGCUACACAUGGUAUGCGUACACUUUUUUUACAGUGUUUAGGGACUGGGGUGUUGUGGUCCUACCGAUGAGGACUAGUACAAACAUCAUGUUGGAUUGGGAGGUGUUAUGGAUGUACGACACCGUUGGUACCAACCCUGAACGACACAAUGGAACACUUGUGUUUUUCAUAGUCAAUGUAGCGAAAGGGGUAUACGAGUUUAGUGUUUCGCAUGGAAGUUAAGAGCCACUAAUAUGGGCACAUAAGUAGUGAAUUGGGAAGUUCCCUUGGGAUAGGAUACACGUAGAUACACAUGCCUAUCAUAUGAUGCUUUUGGUGAUAUGUGAUGCUUUUGGUGACAUUCCUUUGGUGAUAUUCUUUUGGUGAUAUUCCUUUGCUUUCUUUUGGUGAUAUUCCUUUGUUGAUAUGCUUUUGGUGAUAUUCUUUUGGUGAUAUUCUUUUGAUGAUAUGCAUUUUGUGAUAUUCUUUUCGUGACAUACUUUUAGUGAUAUGCUUUGGUGACAUACUUUAGUGAUGUGCUUUUGGUGAGAUGCGAUGCUUUUUGUGAUAUGUGAUGAAUUAAGUGAUAUAUAUUGCUUCUAGUGAUAUUCUAUUCUUUUAGUGGUAUGUGAUGAAUUCAUUGGUAUAUGUAUUAUAUAUGUGAGUAUGGAAUAUUAUUACUUAAUGAUGUUAUGUCAUAAACUGAACUACUGACCCGUUUGGGAUAUGUAUGUUUUCCCUACGACUAUAUAACACAAUCAAUAGGUUUAACACUUGUUUGUUGUACUUUGUGCCUUUGUAUCGGUAUGGGUAGAUUAGGUGAGGUUGGAAACAUUUAUCUUUCGGUAGUAUGUUUUUGUUUAGACGAUACCACUUGGACAUGUUUUGGUUGUUACUUUUUGUUCAAUAAUGGUUUGCAUAAAAUUAAACAGCUUUAAUUGGGUUGUUUUUGAAAGAUGGUAACGUGUGGUUUGUUUAAAACAUGAAUUUUAAAUAACCAAGUCUUCUGCUAACGCAUUCUGUUAAAAAGUGUUUAAAUAAAAAGAAAAAAUGGUGGUAAUUAUAUAUGGUUAAUGAUGCAUGUAUCUGCGGUGAGAUUCAAGAAGAUGUAGACAGUUAGUGUAAUAAAAUAUAGUAACUCUUCGUUUAUGCUUAUGUUUCUGCAUUGACGAUGGCAUAUUGACUUUUAUAAAGAAAAUACAUUUGUUCGAAAAUGUUUUGAUAAUAUUAUUAUCAUGUUUUUGGGACAAAUUAUGCAUAAAAAAUCCUUUUAAAAUAAUACUCUGAUUUAAUAAGCAUAAACAAAUCAGUCUUUUCUGGCUAUAAAAAUGGGGAUGUCACACUAGUGUUGUUACAUCAGGUAGGAAUCUUGGUGAAUGAGAAUCCAUAAUCUUGCAGCUGAUUAUGAAUCAAAACAAUAUGAGCACAACACCAUCCAGCGGCAACAUAUUCCGCUUAAGAGGUAAGCAAGCCACUGACAUCUGCUUCUUGCUUGACCAGCUUAUAAGUCUAUUUACUAGCAGUUGAGCUCUUCCUGAAGUACUCUUUCGAUUUGAUACCACAUCCACCAUGAUCAGAUUUAUUGUAACCAACCAUCUUGAAUUAUGAGUCAUAUGGAUACCAUGAACCAAGAUUAGGUGUAUGUUUUAGAUAACAGGAGACUCUCCUAACAACGUAAACAUGUGAUUCUUUGGGAUUGGCCUGAUAGCGAACACAUAUUAUGGUGGAAAACAUGAUAUCCAGACGAAUGAAGUGAGAUAGAGCAGAGAGCUUAUCAUUCCACUAUACAUGGUAGCAUUAAUGUUAGUGCCAGAUAGAUCAGCAAGAAUAGUUAUAGAUAGUGACAUUGGGGUCUUCACUACUUUACUGUUGAAGAAACCAGACUUCUUUAGGAGGUCAAAUAUGUACUUAGCUUGAAAAAUAAAAAUCCCAUUAGUGAGUUUCUUAACCUAUAGACCUAAUAAAAAUGUUAGUUCACUUAUCAUGCUCAUUUUAAAUUUCAUGGCCAUUACAUCAGCGAAUUCACUACUCAGUAGCUCAUCAUUGGAUCCAAAAAUGAUAUCACCCACAUAUACCAUAACAAGAAUAAUAUGAGACCCUAAUUGCUUGAUAAACAGCGUGUUAUCGAUAUCCCCUCUCUUUUAUCCAUUCGUUAGGAUAAAAGUGGCCAAUGUGUCGUACCACACCCUAGGAGCUUGUUGGAGACCGUAUAAAACUUUGUCCAGAUGAUACACAUGAUCAAGAUACUCUUCACUUUCAAAGUGUGGAGGCUGUUCCAUAAAAAAUUCUUCUUGUAGAUCCUCGUGUAGAAAGGAGGUCUUGACAUCCAAUUGAUAGACUUUAAAGUUCAUGAAAGAUGUAUAUGCAAGAAACAACCUUAUUACCUUAAGUCUUGCCACAGGGGCAAAUGUCUCAUCAUAGUAUAAACCUUCCAAUUAGGAAAAACCUUGAGCAACUAGUCUUGCCUUGUUUCUUGUGACAACCCAAUCUUCAUCCAUCUUGUUUGUAAAAACCCAACGAGUACUAAUGAUAGUCUUCCCAUGAGGACCUGGAACCAGCUUCAAAACUUUGUGUCGUUCAAACUUAUUCAGCUCAUCUUGCAUUGCCUUGAUCGAAUCAGCGUCUUUUAAUGCUUCAACCACCUUCUUAGGUUUAUUCAUUGACAGAAAAUUAACGAACAUGAAGAAAUUGUUGGUGGCCUUGCUACAAGUAAGAAUCCUUGGGUUAUCGUUUCUUAUGAUCUAGGAUUCAUAGUGAUCACGAUGAAAUCUUUGAUUUGCAUCAUUAUUGUUGAUUGGUUCCUCAUUGAAGAGAGCUUAUUCAUGGUUUGGAAUUGCACCGGGGUUUGGAUCUUCAACAUUAUGCGAUUGGACUUCAACAUCAGCGUCAGUUGGGUCCUUAGUGCCAUAGAUAUGAUUCAGACCAAGUUCAAUGUUUGGGACAAUUGGUUCGGAAAAAGAGUUAGAUGGACUAAGAUCAAGUUUGUCAAGAAUGUUGGAAGGAUGAUCAGUUCAAUCUUCAAUCAAUGAGUCUUCAUAAAAAGUAACGUGAAUUGAUUCCUAACCGAAUUGUCUUGAAAGAUUAAAAACUUUGAUGCCUUUUUUUCUUCUUUUAGAUUCACUUGAAUAUCCGAAAAGGAAUCCUUUAUGUACAUUUUGCUUCGGAACUUGAAUGUUGAUCGUUCUGAUUCAAUAUAUAGUAGACACACCUAAAAACAAGAAAGUAAGAUAUCGGGCUUUCUUCCGUUUAGCAGCUCAUAGGCAGUCAUUCCAUAUGAUAGUACAUGAAAGUGUCGUUUAGUCAUUACGAGACCAUAUGUCUUUACGAGAUUGUUUUGACUUCAAGAUAAAGAAUAGGUUUCGAGAUGACUAGAUUUAUGAGAUGUUGUUGUUUGAGGAUUUUGUCAAUGUAAUCUAGCAGAAGUGAAAGUACUACUUUGUCCUUUAAUGUUUCUAAUGUAGUUUCGUACAACCAACAAGAUCAAUAGCAAUGAGUGUUUCAGGCUAUUGACCUUUAGUCCUCUUCAGUCCAUACGCACUUUUGUUAUAUUUUUCUUUUCUUACUCCUUUUUCAAUAAAAGUAGUGUCAACUCAUGUAAACAAAUGCAACUUGUGAGCAACUUCACUUCUAUCAAAUCAAAAAAUCAUCCAGUCAAUCAUUUCUCUCUAACAUUCAUCUUGUUCUUAUUUACUUUACACUAUUCAUACUUUAUAUUAAUCAUCUUGAGCACUUUGUUGAGUUAUUUAUUUCAAAGCUUGACUGUUUUAACUAGAUUUGAGUGGAUGGCUUAUUAUAAGAAAUCAUUGAAGUUAGAUUAAUUCAAGGUUUGAUUUUUCCAACCUUGUCCGCGCAAAUUUGUAUUCUUUCAAUUGGUAUCAGAGCCUAAGUGGUUGUCCUUUGAAUCCAUAAGAACAUAUUAUAGUUGGUUGAAGAUUACCUUGGUAUCUCAAUCAUUUAUGUGUUCACGAUAAAAUUUCUUCUAUAUACCACUUUAGCUCUAAUAUCUUUACAUUAAUGUCUACUUCUAAUCAAUCUCAACAAAUGUAUUUAAUGCAAAUCGAAAAUAGCAUGGGUUGCCCAUCGCAUGCCCCAUUGCUAGUUGAAGAGUAUGAUCAGUAGAAAUUCAGAAUGGAGAGAUUUAUGGUUGGAAAAGAAAAAAGGUGAAGAAAUUUCUAGGUCAGUGAAAGAGGUUCUCAUGUUCGUGUUAGGCAAAUGGUCAGGGAUGCUACUGCUACCUUCAUGGGUCUUGAUUAGCAACGCCCAACACCUCUAACUGCUAAUGAUCUCGAGAAACUCCAUGCAGACCAUAUUGCUUUUUCUGAAAUGGUGUUUGGUGUUCCACCACCUCUCUUUGAGCACAUUAAGUUGUGCAAAUCUGCAAAAUAGAUUUGGGAUACACUUCAAGAUUUGUUUGAAGGAUCGAAAAAUAUAAAGGACAAGCGCCUAGCGUCUGUGGUGAACGACUUCGACACUUUCACUGCCACUCAUAGUGAAUUUGUUUCCUUUGAAUUAAAUCUUUGCAAAAUCAUUGUCAACAACAUGACUGCACAUGGUGUUGUUUAGACUCCGCUUGAGUACAAACUUAAGUUUAUCAAUAGUCUUGGAAAAGGAUGGGGAAAUGUCAAAUCAUGUCUUUAGAGUAAUGGAUCUCUAAAGAAACUAAAGCUCUACUAGUUGUUUGACGAACUGCAGGGUCACGAAUCUAAUGUUGCUCAAACAUUGAGAGAACUAUCUAGAGGUCCUUUCACUCUAAUCAGUCCGGCCAAUCCACUGCUUUCGAACCUAGUUGUCCAAAACCCGUUCAAACCUAUCCUACCUGUUCCACCUGUUAAAACUACUCAACCUGUCCCACCUGUUCCGAACUUUCCAAAUGAAGAAAACUUUGAUCCAGAAGCCGCUAGUUCCAAACUUCGUUUUUUGCAACAGUUUGCACUUAUGUAUUUGAAGUAUAGGCGGCCAUGGAAUCCAAAUCAAAAACCUUCUCAAAACAGAUUUCAAGCUCCUCACCAAAGAAAUCAUCAAACCUACCCUAAUCCAAAAAAAAUCCUUUAGCUUAUCGACCCAACAUUCUGAAUCGCUCCUCGAAACCUCAAGAAAUUUCAACCUCAGCCAAACCCAAGAUUAUAUGUCACAAGUGUGGUCUUGGAAACCACUAUGUAAAGGACUACUUUACUGAUGUUCCUCAGAAACCAAAGGUGAAAGAUUCUGCCUACUAUGCUCUUCUAGCACAGGAACUUGCAGAAAGUGAAAAGGCAUUUGUCACAACGGUUUUACAAAAUGUUGAUGGGUAUUGGUCAUCUGGUGAAGAGGGUGAAGGAAAUUUCGAUAGAAACUUUCUUCUUAUGGCUAGACAAACCAUUUAGUGUGAUGAAGUCUGCUUGUCUUCUGGUUCUAAAGCUGAUGAUGACGAUGUUGAGGCAAAUUACUAUUAGACGGCAACCAACGAUCCACCUGGAAAAAGCAUCAUCCAACAAGUAAAAUACAUAAUUACUGAAAAUAAUUUUGAUUUAUUCUUAUGUGAACCUUAUCUAACUAAAAUUGAAUCACAUAUGACAUUCAUUCUUAAAGCCUAUGAGUCUGCCAUAGAUGUGACUAAGAAGCUGGAUAGUGAGUUAACCUGACUUAGAUUAUGAUUCGAAUAUAACAAGCUUAAUAUUGAAUCUUUAGAGCAUGAACUUGUAAUAGCUAGAGAUGAAUUUAUUAUCCUUAAUGACAAAUGUGCAAUUUUAAUUAGUGAAACAAAUCUUUUUUUUAAUUAUAAUAUGCAUCUUAAUGCUAAGAUUGAUAGUCUGCACAGUUCUAUUGAUAUGAUUGAAUCUAAUAAACAAAUGACCCACAAUUUUCGUCAUCCUUAGUCCAAAGCACAUGGUCUCAGAAGCGAGUUACCGAAACCUAUUUCUAUUCACCAGACAUCAGACAUAUAUCAAUAAUUUAUGGGAGACAUUUCGAUCCAUACUUAUUUGGAUACCCCUGUCUCACCAUUACCAUUCAUUCACCAGACAUUAGACAGAUAUCAAUAAUUUAUUCUUGAGUUCAAACCAAUCACUAUUACAUAUCCUGAUUCCAUGAAACUUUUGUUUCUGAUAUCCCUAAAACUGAAAUCAUCUUCGACACUUCCACAUGGCAUAGGUAGUAUGAGUUUAUCUUUCAAACUCUGGUCCUCAAAACAAUUGUGUUAUUGAGGAAAUCAUUCCUGAUACAUGCACACAUGACUUGGACCAACAUAACUUACUCUGGGUAUUCGUUUAUAGUGAUGUUGAUGAAGAAUUUACGUAUGAUAAUGAGUCAUCCUCCGAAUCCGUUGUGUCAAACAUAAAAGUUGUCUAUAAGUCUACCUUAGUUCCGAUUAAUGCAUGUUUCAACAAUCCAUCUGUUGGAAAGUCUUCCAGGUUAGCAUCUAAGAAGAAACCUUGGUUGAACAAAAAGGACAUUGUUCAUAUGAAUAUUGAGGCUCAGAAAGCUCUAGAAAAAGAAACUACAUCUAGACAAUGCUCUAGGUUCAUUUAGAAAUACGAUAAGAAAGUAUCUCAGACAGUUGUCAGUCCAUCUACUAGGAAUCACAAUACAUUCAUAUAUGUUAAGAUUCUUAAGAGACCAUGUAUUCCCAUUAGCUCGAAUAUACAUGACACAUCAGUUAAAAAUUAUGUGAAAUAUGUUACUGUCGAGACUUUAUCUAAGAAAAAUGACUCUCAUCGGAAAGUAUCCUCUUCAUUGUUUAUUGCUACCUCGGAUGGCAUAAUUUUAAAACCAAAACAACUUUCAAAAUCCAAUGUGCCUACGAAAGCAAUGAAAAAAGGAAAAGAUACUCGAAACACCACUGAUAAGAAACCUUCAAAACGUUUAAAUCCUAAAUUUUCUUGGAAAAUAAAAGGGAAUGAAAAUUCAACUGAACCAUCUUAGAAAACUAUUCCUCCAAGGAAAGCAGUGUCCAAGCAACCAAUAGUUGAGUAUGACUUUUGGAUCAAUGAAAAGACUCUGACAUUAUGCAUAUUACCAAAAGAAUCUCAAAAGAAACUUUUUGAGAUACCAGUUGUUCAAAAAUCUUAAGCCAAGUCUAAAGCCCAGUCUAAAUUCCCAAAGUCUAACUCGGAAUUAACCUCAAAAACUUCGAAAUUCACUGAUUUUAUAGGCCUUCUAUGGUUCGGAACUAGAUACAAUAUCAUAUAUUGAUAGUGCUUGUUCCAUGCAGAUGACUGGGUAGAAAGAUUUUCUGCGUGAUUUGAAGCUUACUCCGAAUGUUCAUUAUGUUACAUAUGGAAACAACACGAAUUCCUAAAUUUGAGGUUAUAGCAUCCUAACCAACAACAAGUUCUUUGUCUCUAAUGUGGCGUCCAUGACUAAUCUCAAUCACAAUAUUAUCAGUGUAGCCCAACUUACUGAUGGAAAUCGGAGGGUUGAGUUAUGUAAGAAGCAUAACUACUUUAUGAUAGAAGAUCGGAAAGAAUGUCUCAUCAAUCCAACUUGGAACAAAAACAUGUAUCCUCCGAAUAUCAAUAUAUUUAUCAAAAAGCCUCAAUUGUUUCUUCUUAAGAAAUUUGUUCCUGACGUAAGUUGGUGAUGGCAUCAGAGGCUUGCUCAUCUAAAUUUCCGAUAUAUGAAUGAUCUGGUUUUUGGUGAAAUGGUCCGAGGUUUGCCACUCCUCAAAUUUGAGAAUGAUCAUCUCUGUGAUGCAUGUUGAUGUUGGAAGCAAUCCAAGAAAGGUCUCAUGUUCUGAUUGUUAAAUCAAUUUCUGAACGACUCAAUUUUAUAAAAGGGUUUGAUGUUCUAAAAAAAUUGCACGUCCGAAGAAUUCAUAGUGACAACAGAUAUGAGUUCACAUUCAAAAAGCUUCUUAAUAACAAAGGCAAUGAGCAAAUUUUUUUACUCCCUACAUUCCACAACAAAAUGGUGUCGUUGAAAGAAGAAAACGAACUCUAUUUGAAGUUGCUCGGUUGAUGUUUAACUUUGCAAAUCUUCCGAUUUAUUGUUGAGCCGAAGCAGUCUCAACAUCAUGUUUUUCUCAAAAUUGGAGUAUCAUCAACCAUCACCUCAACAUGACACCAAAUGAAGCAAUGAAUGGUUGGAAGAUGAGUAUCUCUUUCUUACACAUUUUAGAUGCAGAUGUUUCAUAAAAAAACAAUCGAGAUCAACUCACCAAGUUUCAAACUAAGUCAGAUGAAGCCAUCUUCUUAGGAUACUCUGCUAAACUGAAAGCUUACCGGGUUUUGAAUCAUCGUACCAGUGUAAUUGAAGAAAGGUUCGAUAUCACUUUUGAUGAUAAUUUUUUUCGAAACUAAGAACCAACUCAUAUCACGACACACAUCCUUGAGUCUGAUGCUCUACCUUCUGGGUCUUCGAAUCCUCAAGUUGUCUAUGAAGUCGAUUUCGAAAGCAUGUUCGGACCAAUAGAAACAUCUAUUGACUCGGAAUCUCGAUCAAGACCGUCUUCAACUCCCAGUCCUGUUUCUCAAAACAUAUCUGAUUUGACUCCAAAAUUUCCACCAUUUUAUUUUGAAUUAUUUCCAUCUCGGGUUGAGGUGGAGAAUGCAUCCACUUCCUUGCCUCAUGGGCAGGGAAGUAAUCUAUCCCUGAAAUCAAAUGUUGAUGGAUUUUUAGAUGCAAGAGAUCAUUUUUCUAAAAUUCAUCCAAUUUCAAAACAGCAAUGAAGACGAUCCAACUUAUUUGGCUUUCCGAACUAUGAUGAUGUAGGCAUAUCAGGUUUAGAAGUCUAGGGGGAGCAUUAUCCUCAAAUUCAAAUUGUUCAGGGGGGAACACAACCCUAUUGUUGACAACGGAUCAUCAACUGCAUAGGAGCUUCCGAGAUUAUAUAUCUAGACGACAAAGGAUCAUCCUCCAAAUCAAGUCAUCGGAAAUCUUAACGUCUGAGUUCCAACUCACUCAGCUGGUAAUAUUCAAAAUGAGUGUCACUUCUCUCCAUUCAUAUCAAUUAUUGAACCCAAAUCCAUCAAAAAAGAUCUAGAACAUUCCGCGAUUGAUUACAUCAAUGCAAGAAGAUUUAGCAGAGUUCGAUAGAAAUAAAGUGUGGACUCAUUUCCCUCCUCCUCUAGAUCGCCCUAUUUUCAGAACGUGAUGGUUUUUUCGAAACAAAAUCAAUGACCCAUGAGUCAUUAUCAGAAACAAAGCAAGAAUUUUAGCCAAAGGAUUCACUCAGAUCGAAGGUCUUGAAUAUGUCGAGACUUUUGCACAUGUUCCCCAUCUUGAAGCUAUAUGAAUCUUUCUCGCAUACGCUACUCAUAAAGGCUUCAAAGAUGACCAUUAAGAUGUUAAGAGUUCCUUCUUCAAUGGUGAACUCGAUAAUGAAUUUUAUCUUCAACAGUCUCCUAGAUUUGUGAAUCUAUCUUAUCCGAACUACUACUACUAACUCCAUAAAGCUGGUAUGGCCUCAAGAAAGCUUUGUGUGUGUGGUAUGAGACACUCACUUGUUUUCUGAAGCGUUCUGGUUCUUAGAGAGGAAUUCUUGAUCCUACAUUGUUCCAAAUAUCAAAUGAUAAACAUCUCAUGUUAGUUCAAAUAUAUGUCGAUGAAAUCAUCAUUGGGUCAGCUGAGCCAAUGAUGGUUGGUAACUUCGCCAUGCUGAUGGUUAGUUGAUUCCAGAUGAGUAUCGAUCAUGAGUUAAGUUUCUUUCUCAGAUUGCAAGUUAAACAAAACAAUAGAGGAAUUUGUCUUCAUCAAGAGAAAUACAUAUCUGAACUUCUGAAGAAAUAUUCAUAGGACACAUGUGCAUUUGCAAAAGUUCCAAUGGGUUUUGGACACAAGAUCUUCUUGGACCCAUUUGAUGUUGUCGUUGAUUAGAAGAUGUAUAGGGGAAUGAUUGUAUCAUUGCUAUACCUCACUGUACGUCCUCCAAACAUCAUGUUCUUGUUGCAAGCUGUUUAAUCCGAAGAUGUCUCACCUAUUAGCAGUAAAGCAAAUCUUCAAAUAUCUCAAAGGAACAAAGAGCCUUGGAAUUUGGUACCCUGCAAAUGAAAGUUUUUUGUUGCAAACUUUUUCGCACUAAAAUUAUGGGGGACUUCAACUUGAUCAAAAAAGUACAUCUAGUGGUUGUCAAUUUUUGGGUGGAAAACUGGUUAGCUGGUCAUCCAUGAAAAAGAACUUCAUAGUACUUGCAACAGCCAAAACAUAAUACAUUGUUGUUGGAAGCUGCACCUCUCAAUUUCUUUGGAUGAAAUCUCAGCUAUUAGAAUAUGGUUAUCAAUUUCAACAUAUUAUGAUAUAUUGUGAUUCUCAAAGUGCUAUCGCGAUCUCACACAAUUCGGUUCAACACUCCAUGACCAAAAAAAUUGAUAUUCGGUACCAUUUCAUUAAAGAUCAUGUCCUAAAAGAUAACAUUGAUCUCAUUUUUAUUCCAUCUGACGAUGAAAUUCCUGAUGUCUUUACUAAGGCAUUAGACAAAACUAAAUUCAAUAGUUUUCUGAACAAAAUGGGAAUGAUGAUUCCAAUAUCCUCAAUUCUUCCAAGAAAUUUGUACUCUCUGCAUCGUUAAACUUAAACCAGAAAAUGACCAAAUUAUAAUGGCUUUUAACUUUUAUGUAAAUUCCCUAUUUUCUAAAAAGUGCAUCGAUAAAGAAUUUACAAAGCCAAAUAGAAACAUGAGUGUGAAUUUUCCAGGAAUAAAUGCACCAAUUCCAGAAAAUGCAGAUUAAAAAAUUAAGUUACAUAGCUGAAACAUUAAAUCUAUUAACUAAACCCAACACAAGGCGCUUAUCAACUAACAUGCAUUCACCUGAAAAUGUCAAAUGGAGAUUUUUUUUGAGUUUAAUUCUCAAAAGAUUUAUAAUAAACAAAUAUUUAAUUACCGUUUGGACGAAGAUGCCCUUCAUAGAGCUACUCGCCGGAUUUUGGCCAUACAUCAUGUUUGGAUCCAAAUGACUAUAGGUUUGGAUCCAUAAUUAACGAAAUUGGUAGCCCUCUAUCACCAACUGUUUCCUUUGAAUAAACUUCGGACCAGACUCGCAUUAACCUUCACCUUUCAGUGGCACGAUAUUAACAACCGGCAAUAAAUUUUAAUUUUUAAUUGUUAAUUUUUGGUGUGUGUAAAAGAAAGAAAGAAAAAAAUAAAAUGAAAAUAAUAUACCUUCCUAUCAUUAAAAGUAGUUGUUGCAGAGAAACACACAUAUAUGGGGAAAAAGGUUGACGAUUCAGCUGGAGGUACAACAAACUCCUUUGACCUGCUACACAUAUCAUCAACCAUGUCAACAACAAAAAGAUAUUCUAGGAAAAUAAAUAUAUUAAAAAAUUUGAAAAUAUAAAACUUUUAUCAACCAAAACUUUGGUUUGAGUCAUCAAUCCGAACCACUAUUCUAAAAAGCUCAUCAUGUCUAUGUGUAACAUUCCAAAAAUUUCAACAAAUUUAAACUUUUCAAAACAACCUAGUUACUGAUAAAAGUGUUUACAAAAACAUUGUCUCCACAACAUGAUUUAAAACCAGAGUCUCCCAAGAUCCAAUCUGUUGUAAAACAAAGCAUAUGUGCAGUCAUGCCUUCGCCUUGCCACGAAUUAUCUGAAGAACCUGAAACCAAAAACAAAACUAUAAGCACAAGCUUUGUGAGUUCCCCCAAAGUACCAACACACAAACAAAUAGCUCAUAUACAACAACAACAUGUACUAGGUCCAUAGCUAAAAGACUGGAUUACCCCUGAGACCAUAAUAUGAGUAUGGCUUACCUUUCGUGCCCAUAGAUCAUAGACAAAAUUGCAAAAAUGGUCCCUGUGGUAUGUCAAAACUAGCAACUUUGGUCCAAAAUGGGUUUGAAUCGCAAGGAUGGUCCAAUAGUUUCGUUUUGUUGUGAGUUUAGUCCACAUUCCUAUGAACUUUUUAAUAAUGACGGAUUUGCCCCUUAUUAUUUUAUUUUCCAUUUUUCUUUUAUUACAACAGUUAGAAAACAAUUAAAAAUAAUACAAAAUAAAUCUCUCUCUCUCUCUCUCUCUCUCUCUCUCUCCUGCGAAUUAGGACUACGAACUCAACCCUUUAUCAUUUACCUUUUCUUGCUUGCUUUCACUUACAACCUUACCAUCACGUAAAUUAGCGCCAUGAACACAUACAUAAAUAUCUCCAUGAUUAUCUUCAUCUUCAUAUGAAAAAGAAUCUCGAUCGUCGGAAUCAUUGAAAGGUUCGACCAUAACAAACUCUUCAUUUUCUACUCUUAUGCCAGAACGAGAAGAUAUGUGUUCACUUCUUACCACUCAUCUUAGUCUUUAUCAAUAUCUAACAAAUCUGAUUGAUUUUGAACAUGGAGUCUUCUUUUUUGAGGAUUAAAAUGCAAUUAAGAGUUAUUCCCAGAAUCAGUGACCCAGAGAAACGAGAUUAGAGUAAACAACAUCUUGGAAGAGUUGUUGUUCUUCGUGAGUACAUUUAUAUGAUACUUCUUUCCCCGUUUUGUGUAACCCUAAAUUGAUGAAUCUUUCAAGCCCUAGAGUUGUUGUUCUUUUGUGUAACCCUAAAUCGAUGAAUUUUUAGGCUCAAUCUGAACCUGCUUCAUCAAUCUGAAUCUCCCUCUUCUUCGAUUUUGCAUGAUGGUUGCUAAGAUUUUGUUGAAUCAUGCGUCUGCGUAAGGGAGUUAUGACCUAGUUUUAGGGAUGAUAGAAGGGAAACGGGAAAGGGAAGGGGGGGAAAUGGGUUGGCGUACGGUGAGGUUUGAUAGUGUCGGUGCCUUGGAAGGACUGGACAUGCCUUGGAGUCGCCAGAGUACUCGUGUCGGAGGUCAUUCCGGUGGAGAGGAAACAUUGUAGAAGAAAUAGGGGAGGGAGACGAUGUGUUUGCGUUUAUAGCUUAUUUAUUUUAUUUUGUUUUAUUUUUAAUUGUUUAGUUUUAUUGUAAUAAAAGAAAAAUGGAAAAUAAAAUAAUAAGGGGCAACAAAACAAAACUAUCGGACCAUCCUUGUGAACCAAACCCAUUUUGGACCAAAUUUGCUAGUUUUGACAGACCACAGGGACCAUUCUUGCAGUUUUGUCUAGAUCAUAUUUUUCCUGCUCUUGAGCCCACAACAUAAGUCUGGCUUGCCCCCGGGGCCUAGAGCUUAUGCCUGGCUUGCUCCCAACCCAAUAAUCAUCGGACUAGAAUACCAAUGUUCAACCCUCAAUACGAGUCUAGUAUACCAACCGGUCCUCAGCUUGUAUUUAGAAUGCUACCGAGCCCUCAGUAUGAGUCUGACAUGCCCUACCCGACCCUUAUCUCAUAUUUGGAUUGCUUUAAUACCCUCAAGCCCUCAAUACAAGUCUGGCAUACAAACCGGGUCCUAAGCUCGUAUUCGGAAAGCACCUGAGCCCUCAGUAUGAGUCGGGCAUGCCCUACUCGGACCUCAGCUCAUAUCUGGAAAGCUUCAGGGUUUGUUGGCUACAACACGAAGCACUAUAACCUCAACCCAAUACAAUAUGCCGACAGCUAACAAACAUAUACAGGUACUCGUGUGGAUAGAAUCACAGGUAGUCCUACUUAUCUACCAGACUAGCAUAUCAAGACUAGCAUGCAUAUCUAUUCCAUACUCAACAUAUCAACAAUAUCAGGUUACCAACCAAUGGGCCAGCCUUGGUGCCUUUAACCCGUGAUUAUAGUGAGGAAAACUCACCUCGCACUAUAGAAUCAUACCGACGAUCCGUGGCUGCUGGCUGACAGAUCCCUAAACCGCCAAUAUCAAGACAACACCCCAUCAACAGUUGGUCCCACAAAUAAUCUCUGACUGCAGAUCCUCUAAAAUCCAUGCACUAUCUAAUUCCACAAUGACAACCCAUCAACAUCUAGACCCUAACUCACACUAUGAGUCCAAAUUAGGGUAAAAGACCUUUUUACCCUUCCUCAAGCUUGGCCCAGUGACAAGGCCCAAACUAGAUGACGAAAGGCCCAAAAUAAAAUAAAACAUCUAAGGCCCAAAUAUGCCCCAAUUUUCCAAAUUGGACCAAAUUCUUUUCGUGGGCUUUUACUGAAGAAAGUCCAACAAGUGAAACAGACCAACCAUAAAAAUCCAGAUGGCCCAACAUGGCCCAACACAACCAAGCCCAAACCAAAUCCCAAAACGAAAACCCUAAGUCUACCGAGUACGCGGGGCAUACUCAGCCUGUACGCUCAGCAUACAACAUGGAAGGCUUGUGCGCGCAGUGUACAUACUUGUACGCCCAUCAUACUCAUCAACCAUAGCCAUCUUUCCAAUUUAGCACUUAAUCCAUUAAGACUUGCGUCCAAACUCAUAUAUGACUUCUCCAAGGUGGUUAAUCACAUAAAGUUGCCAACUUUAUGUGCAUGCAUGGCUAAAUGGGACUCUAGAGCUUAAAGGAGCUUAAUACAUGCAUGGAACCAAAAACACCAUAAAGUUUGCACCUUUAUGCCCAAGGAACCCAUGAUAUAUCCAAAUCUACAAUUUUAAGCUUCAAAAACGACAUUAACUCCCACUCAUCAACCAAAAGGGUCAAAAUGACAAAAAAUGAACCAAGAGGAAGAUCUAUGAAAUGAAAAGGCAAAGUUUGGACUUUAUACCUCCCAAGCCACCAAAAGAAGAUGCAAAUGCUAGAUCUUAAAGCUUUCCUUUAAAGAACAAAUCUUCAAGUUUCUCCUUCUUCUUCUAGAUCUACAAAACCCUCCACAAAAUCUCACAAGAGCUUCAAGAUCACCAAACAUGGGCUAAGGGUCGAAUUAGGGUUUCUAGAGUAUGGGGGCUAGCUUAGAAAUGAUCACAAGAGACUAACAUAAGGCUUAUAAAUGGUACAACACAAAAAUUAGGGUUUUCCUUACUUAUCAUGCCUUGCACUCCCGCAUCACCCUUCACAGUACGCCAAGCGUACUCACCUCUGCAGCAACACGCCGCACAUACUCCCUUGGUACGCCCUGCUUACUAGGGUCCCCUCUUAAACCCUAAAACACUCUGAAGGCCACAACUUCCUCAAUCUAAGUCCGUUUCGAUGAACUUUAUAUCCACAGAAAGGUGAUGAGAAACCCUACACUUCUAGAAACCCAUCAUAGGCUUAAAACUCCUCGAGCCCAAGACGCAACACAUAAUGGACCCAACAAUCUCCCCCUUUGCGUAAAUUGGGGCGAGACUCUACUUUGGCUUACUGGAUCCUGCUGCAUUAACCUUCUUCGUGGUUUCGAACAGGCAAGGAAUGAUGGCAAGAAUAGUUCGUCGGAAACGAAUAUACCGGUGGAUCAUGUCAUUGAAGUAUCUCUUAUCAUCUUCAGAAUUUUGCUUACACCGAUUGAUGAUCCCCAGAACAUGCUCCAGACACGUAGUGGUGUAAAGAUGUUUAUCAACUAAAGCGAACAGACAUUUCUGGCCUUCAUUCCUGGUGAACAUAACCAAGUUUCGCUUCGGAUCAAUCCUCCCCAUCUGCAUUUUAUUCAGAUCACUUGCAGAACCGACUGGGGAGAUGGUGGACUUCUUCCUAAGUACAUUUUCAAUUUCCUGAUCCAUCUUGGCAACCUCCAUUAUAUAACAAACCAACAUCCUCUUGAAGGGAUCUAUGAUCGGCCCAUAUUUAGCUUCAUUGGUGAGGAGGAUGUUAUGCAGAAUGAUCCAAUCGUGAGGAUUUAGAUUAGGAAGAUCAGCGAGAGUAAUGGCAUGUUCGGCUUUAUCUGACCCCCUCAAGACUUUGAAUCUGAUGUUCAUGAAAUUACCCUCCCGAAAGGGUUUGAGGACCCGAACAUUGACAAUCUUAUGUGCACUCCACGUCUGAUACUGAGGCUGAGCAAACCUCAGAUAGAAAUCAAUAAGUUCCAUAUCAACCUUCGGGUGAGGAUGAGGGAAUUCAGCUAUAUGGGGAAAUGCAUGAAAAAUAAAUGCCUUUCAGGUAAAGGGCAUGUCGAAUUGAGAAUCAACAUAAUUAGCCCUGUCCAAAGAGAUCACAUGUUCAAGCCAGAGGAUGCUAGGGGACUCGAUAGCUUCUUUGAUAAGCUUAUCAAGAGUCCAUGGAGGGAAUAAGGUUUUUCGACUUUCAAGGAGAUCAUGAGCCUCUUUCAUCUUCAUUUCAUUUGCUUCCGCCUCCCUAGCAAUCCGAGCAUUCAUGUCCAGUUCCUUGUCCCUGGCCUGUUUCUUCAAAAUAUCAGCAAUGGUUUCUUUGUCUUCGUCUCCAUCACUGUCAUUGAGAACCUUUUUGCCUUUUUCUUGAGCACCCGAACCUGAUGCAUGACCAGUUGUUGGUGGUUCGGUUGCUUUAGUUGGAACUGAUGAAGAAAUUGGAGGUGGUUGGGACUGAGUUGUGGAAACAGGAGGAGGUUGAGAUUGAUUACUGCCCUUUGAAGCUCCUUCUCCCCCAUGUUUUGGAUGGACCACUUGCGCAGGAAGCCCCUCAAUUUUGCUAAGCAUGGAAAGAGCAGGAGCAAGUUUCUCAGCAAGAGUUCGCCUCACUGAGUAGUUGAGAAUCGGGUCAUGCGCUUCAAUGAUGUUCGAGAGGGCUCCGUGGACAUCCGAAACAUAACUCCUAACCACAUCACGCUCAAAUUGAAGAGAAUCAACCUCCUUCUCAGUUUGGGAAAGUUGAAGACUCUUGGUUUUUAGCGCAGUUGUUUUGCGUGCAAGCGCAUCCAUCACAGAAUUUUCCGUGGCAAGCUCUUCUUGGAGCUUGGUCAGGCGAUCAUCAACGGUUGUCUAGAAAGAUUUAUUGUCUGCUUCUAGGGUCUGACGAAGACUGGCGAAGUGGUGCUGUUCUGUUUCAAAGGAAGUAGCCAACUUCUUAACAACCGAAUUAAUCUUCGCUGCAUUAGAUUCGGCUGCCCCCUGUAAAGACUCCAAAAAUAUGGUAGCAUCUCGAAAUAGUUUUUCGACUUUUUCGGUCACAGCAACACAAGCCUUUGUUGAUGGAGGCUUCGUGUGCCUUGGUGAAAGUAUCGACCAUCCCCUGAAUGGCAGCUUCCGUAAUAUGGGACCGAGAGGAGGAGGAAGAAACGACGAGAUUAUCAAUCUUCUCGUGAAGUUCCUUGAUGUGCUUUUUGGUGAUAGGAGCAUUACCAUCAUCAUCGCUGUGAACCUGGUAGGGACUGUAGUAAACUGAAUCGAAGGUUAUAUCUUCCCCUCCUAGAAAUGUCUCGGUUUCGGCUGAGUGAUUGGGAGAUAAAGGCGAUGUUGGAAGUUGGGUUGUGGGAGUAGGUUCGGGUGUGAAAGUGGGUUUGGUUGUAGGUGUGUGUUUGGGUGCUGAAGUAUGAUCCCCGUAUCAGAUACGUUGGUUCAAACUCCAGUGGUUGUUGUUUUUGUGGCUUCAGAGAAGAUGGGAGGUGGUAUAGGAAUACAAGUGGGUGGAAUAUGAGUGGAUGAAGUUAUGGGGGGAAUGGAAAUAGGGAUAGUGAUAGGUGGAGAAGAGACAGGUUCGGUUGUGACUGGUACCUCAGGUGAAGGCGAACGGGGAGGAGAGUCGCCUCGAAUCGACCCCUCUGAGUCUGAACUUUCAUCCUCUGAGUCGCUUGAGGAAGAAGCAAGAAUAAGUUUUCGUUUAGGCUAAGUUUUCGCCUUCUUCGGUGGAGGUGAUUGGGCUGCUUUUGUAGAUUUUCUCUUCUUAGGAGUAGGGCCUUUCGCCCCUUUUACCACUUUCUUUCCUUUCCCUUUCUCUGGUUUCUUGCCUCUGGGAGCAGGUUUGUCUGCGUCAUUGAUGGAUUGAACCAUCUCUGUAGUCAGCUCUCUUGGACCCGAUGGAAGAAAUUCCUUGUAGGUCUUGAUGAUGUGGCUCUCUGCUGAUACAUAAGCAUACAUGGACUCAGGAAUUGAGCCAACAAAGAUAAACUUGGAGGGAUAAGUAACGAUGAUCUUUGUAGUGUGGAACACGCCAAUCGAGGAGAGUAGAGAAGUGGCCACAGUUAGGACAUGAUACUUGUCCAUUGCCCAUUUGGUGACGAUCGUCCAGAACCUGGCAUAGGAGAUUUCAGUGUGUCGAGAGGUAGAGGCGAGGCUUUGAAUCAACUGCUGCCAGAGAACCGAGCCAUAGUCGAGGUUGAUCCCAUUGUACAACCCAUAAAGAAUUGUCAUGAACAAACGACUGGCCCCAUCAGAUUCUGCACUCCUCUCAGAUAACCCUUUGAACAAAAUCAUGAAGAAACCGUUCCAUUAAGGAGGAAGGCACGACUUCUUGAACUUCGUGACAGUAGUAAGGGUUUCAGUGUAACCCAUGUUGUAAAACAUGGAGAAUAAUUGACCCACAGUGAUCGGAUCAGGGUUAACCCUCAAUUUGUCAGGUUCAAACCCUAGAAGCGAGCAAAAUCGCUGCUUUGAGAUGGAGGUUUUGGUGUCAAGGAUGUCGAAGUAGAUGCGAUCAAUACAUUUUUUCGUAGUGAGAUGUGGAGAAAAUCUGGGAUAGACAUUCCAUAGGCACAAUUUCAACCUUGGUGAGUGCGAGCACCAGUGGAGAUUAUUUGAGACACUCCACUAUGGGAUACAUGAAGGCAUCAUAGGAGAUUGGGGUGAGGUCGAUGACCAGGCUUUGCUAAGGUCUGAUUGGGAGAAUGUUGGAGGUUUCAUAAACAGAGGAGGAAUCCGCCAUUGUUGAAUGCUUCAAAGAAGAAGAUGAACAGUGGGAGAAAAAUCGCCUUUGCUUGCUCUCAGAAAUUUGGGUUGCAGUAAAAAGGUAAAACAACUAGGGUUUAACCCUUUAUACCGGGUAUGGAGGUGAGAGAAAAUUUCGCCCCCAAAUCCUCUUGAAAUGCGAAACGGUUCCUGAUUUGAUUGAAAUGUGACAGUUAGCAACCCGAUGAUUACGCAUGAGAGAGAAAAACGUUUCCGUUUAGCACGCCUUCCCACCAAAUCCCCUUUUUGAAUUCUGGAAACCUUUAAUCUUCUGGCUGAGUCAUCAUCUUAUCUUUUAAAUGAGCUGUCAUCAUUAAAUAAAAUCAAAGACUUAGAAAAACCACAACAUUCCCUUGUUGAGUAUAUCCUUAAGAACCAAAGCUACAUAAAGGAAAAUAGCUUGUAGAGAACCAAACCAGACUUUUGGAAAAUCAAAAAGAUCUUCGUGCAUAAAGUGUCAAAGAUAAAGAAAUAAAGCAACAUCUAUAUGGGAAUUUGUGAUGUCAAUAUAGACACGAAACUGUGGAUCCUGGGCACGAAUCGCUUCCUUCAAAGUCAAGAGAGACUUUAAAGUGUCUGUGUGGUUUCCCGUUGAAUUACGAUCAAGCACUUGUUAAGAAGUGUUGAAAGGCAUCUUUUGAUGAGGCUUAUAAGGGUGGCUCUCACUUCAGUUCAGAAUUCCGGAUCUUGACGUAAGACCGAAACCGAACGAAGUACCUGUGAGACCGAUGUGGUCUGUUGAACAAGUAGGUUUGGACUAUAUUCAAUGACUUGUUGGAAAUGUUUGGCGUGAAAUCUCAAAAAAAAUNAAAAAAAAAAAAAAAAAAACUGGAUUCUAUGGGAAGAAAUGUUAUGGUGUGUAACAAUUUCAUAAAAAUCACACAAAAAGAAAAACAGAGAUUUCAUGGUACAUCCACUUGGGUGGUUUCGUUAAUUCAUUGGUGAAAGCUAGAGCAAAUUUAAUUUUUCACCGUCAAUUCAUAGUAGGUAUUGAAUUUUGGGUUUCACUUAGCACGUGGUGACAUGAAGCUAAGAUCAUAAACACAGAGAUUGUUUAACCAUAAACCUCAGAGGAUAUUUCUAAGAGUCUCAAGGGUUACAUUUAUGAACCGAAAUGUGAUGGAGAAAAGUGUUUGAGGUGUUGUAAAGAAACCAAAGUACCUCUGCUAUAAAAAGAAUGACCAAGCAGAAAAAUCUUAACUCAUAUGAGAAAAGAGUAAGGUAGCUCAUGAUUAGAAUAAAUUUAGCAGUCUAAUUGGGAAGACGAGGUUUGUAUAUACUCAGUCAAUAAGGCUUUAUUCAAAAUCGGUUGAGGCUUUGGACAACAUGCAACAACAUGCUUCUAGGGACACUUAGCUAGUAUAAAGUGUGAGAAUGAUACCUGCCCCAUCAAUAUUCCAGAAACUGUUAACAUAAAUAGAAGUACAGACAAAAAAAAAGAAAAUAUUUUUGGAAUUUUGAUAAUUUUGUAAAUAGAAAAACAAAACAAACCAAACAAAAAAUAAUUGAACCGAACCAGAAAUGUACCGAACACUCGGUUCAUUUCGGUUCCUUAAAAAAAUAUUUUUGGAUUUUUGGAAAACAGUUGUACAAAAGUAUACAACCAAAUACAUCACCUUUUUGAGAUAAGCGAAAACAAGUGCAGUGGGACCGAACCCGAAAUAGACUGAGGGUUCGGUUCAUUUCGGUUCUCGUGUGAACCGAGCCCAAAAUAGACCGAGCGUUCGGUUCAUUUCGCUUCCAACUUUUAGUUUUGAGAAGGUGUUUUUGGUACUGACUCCGAUUCCAUCAUACCUAGGCCUUGUAGGAUUUUAUUGAAACUUUCUUCAGGAAGGGCUUUGGUGAAGAUGUCAACUAGUUGAUCAGUUGUUCGAACAAAGUGAAUUUCGACGUUUCCAUCUUCCACAUGAUCCUUAAUAAAGUGAUACCUUAGUGCUAUAUGCUUGGUCUUGGAAUGUUGCACUAGGUUAUGACAGAUCCUAAUUGCACUUUCUGAGUCGCAAUAUAGUGGGAUCUUUUUCAUAUUGAGUCCAUAAUCUCGGAGUUGGCUUUGGAUCCAAAUCACUUGUGAUGUGCAGGAGGCGGCUGCAAUGUACUUUGCUUUGGCUGUAGAUAGAGAAACACAUGUUUGUUUCUUCGAUUUCCAGCUAACCAACUUUCCGUCUAGGAAUUGGCAGCCUCCUGUGGUGCUUUUUCAGUCUAGACCACAGCCUCCUAAGCCUGCAUCUGAGUAGGCUUGAACGAAGAAAGCUGAGUUUGAGGGAUACCAGAGACCGAGAGAGGUGGUUCACUUCAAAUACCAGAAUAUAUUCUUCACUGCCAGCAUGUGUGGUCCAUGAGGAUUUGCUUGAAACUUGGCACAAUAGCAUACUGAAAACAUUAUAUCGGGCCUGCUAGCUGUGAGGUACAUCAGGGAACCAAUCAUUUGGCGAUAUAGCGUUAUGUCGACUGCCGGUUUUUCCAAAGAUGGUGUGAGCUUGGUGUCGAACGCCAUAGGGACUUUGACCUUUGAGUCUCCCAUCAUGCCGAAUUUGGCAAGGAGAGUCUUUGUGUAUGCUUCCUGGUUGAUAAAAAUGCCUUCGGGUCCCUGUCUAAUAUUUAAACCAAGGAAAAAGUUAAUCGGACCCAUUGAGCUCAUUUCAAAUUUAGUCUCCAUCAACUUCCUGAAUUCAGCUGUUAGGCUAGGAUUCGUGGAGCCGAAGAUGAUAUCGUUGACAUAGAUUUGAACGAUCAUAAGGUGGUUACCUUCCUUUUUACGAAAGAAGGUUGGGUCAACCGAACCUUGUUUGAAUUUAGACAUCUUUAAAAACUUAGUUAAUGUUUCAUACCAUGCCCUAGGAGCUUGUUUCAGACCAUAAACUGCUUUAUCCAAGAUGUAGCAGUGAAUUGGAUGCUUUUCAUUUACAAAACCAGGAGGUUGCUCCACGUACACGGUUUCUUCAAGUUCCCCAUUCAGAAAGGCACACUUCACAUCCAUCUGAUAGACCUCAAAGUUCUUGUGUGCAUCAUAGGCAAGAAAUAUUCGAACGGAUUCCAACCUUGCAACCGGAGCGAAUGUCUCUUCGUAAUCGAUUCCUUCUUCCUGGCAAUAUCCUUUCACCACUAGCCGAGCCUUAUUCCGGAUCACAUUUCCCUCCUUGUCCAUUUUGUUUCUGAACACCCAUUUGAGACCGACAACCGAGGCAUCUUUUAGUGUUGGAAUAAGUCUCCAGACCUUAUUUCUUUCGAACUCAUUGAUUUCGUCUUGCAUAUCCUGAACCCAAUCAGAAUGGUCGAGAGAAAUAUUGACGGUCUUCGGCUCUAUUUUGGAGAUGAAAGAAUUAAACAUGCAGAAUUCUACUUUGGAGAACAGAGCAGUUUGCUUCGCCUUCAGUUGUGAUCAAGUUAGAACCUUUUCUGAUGCAUCACCCACAAUUUGAGAUACAGGAUGAUCUCUGGUCCAUUUGGUGAGAGGAUGAUAAUUUGGAUCAUAAGAGGGAUCCAAUUCAGCAUUUACCAUUUCUUCCAUCUUUGAUUGAAUAUCAUCAUCAUACUGCAUAUUGGAAUUCUCCCCCUCGACAGAUGAUGAAUCAUUUGGAUGUGAACCAAAAAUUCUUUCUUCGACUGGACUUUCGGACUAUUCCGGACUUUCGGUUGCCACAGGACUUUCGGGUGCAACCGGGCUUUCGGUUCUGGCUGGGCUUUCGGGUUGUUCCGGAUUUUCGGUUGCUAUAGGACUUUCGAGUGCAACCGGGCUUUUUGGUUCUGGCUGGGCUUUCGGUUCCGUCAAAGAUUGGAUUCUCCCCCUGGCCAUGAGCAUUAUCGUCGAUUGAAAAUGAUGGACCCUCCCCCUGGAUAUAUGAGUCCUGUCAAUCUGAAGAGAAUUGAUUCUCCCCCUCGACUGAAGUAUUGCUCUGAGGAGGGUCGUUUCUAACCGGUUCUUCUUCUGCCAUUUGUUUGGCUGCGUCUUCGAUAAUCUUCUUAAGGUGAUCCACCUUGUUGUCUGCUUCCAUGGCUUCAGAGUGAAUAGCCUUCUCAGGUUCAUCAAAUAAAUCCAUGAACUGGUCAAACAAAUUGGCGAUUGAGGCUGUGACCUGACCGGUUUGAGAGAAAAUUUCUCCAAUUGCCCCUUCGGUAGACUUCAACUUCUUGAUGUAAUUGUCAUCGAAUGUUACUUAAUAGGUUUCUUCAAUUCGUUUAGAACACUUAUUCAGAACCCUGUACGCCUUUGAAGUAAAAGAAUAUCCCAGAAAUAGCCUUCAUCGGCUUUGACAUCAAAUUUGUUGCGAUGCUCUUUGGAGUUGAAAAUGAAUCACCUCGAGCUGAACACAUGAAAGAAGUUAACAUUCGGCUUCCUGUUGUUAAGAAUCUCAUAGGGGUGAGAGAGAAACGCUUGUUGAGAUAAGAUUUGCUUUUAGUGAAACAAGCUGCAGCAAUGGCGUCUGCCCAGAAAUAUAGAGGAAGGGAGGCAAAACUCAGCAUGGUUCAGGCCGCCUCACACAAGGAUCGGUUUUUCCUUUCGACAAUUCCGUUCUGUUGAGGUGUAUAGGGAGCUGAGAAAUUGUGACUGGUGCCUUUUUCCGCUAAGAAAUCAUCGAAUUCUUUGUUCUUGAAUUCCAGUCCAUUGUCGCUCCUGAUAUUUCGAACGACUUUUCUCAGUUGCACUUCGAUCUGCUUGAUGAAGAUCUUCAGCUUGCGNCUUUAGAAAGAAUACCCAAGUAAAUCGUGAGAAGUCAUCAACAAUAACAAGGAUGUACUUGUUACCGCCAAUGCUCUCGAUUGAUGAUGGACCACAUAAGUCGAUGUGAAGCAACUCAAGGGAUUCAACAACUUUGGUGAUGGUUGUUGGGUGACUUUGGCGACUUUGUUUCCCCAUUUCACAAGCAGCACAUAAGUGUUCUUGAUCGAACUUAAGCAGUGGAAGACCCCGAACAUGAUCACCGAUGACUAGCUUGUUGAUGUCUUUGAAGUUGAGGUGUGAGAGCCUUCGGUGCCACAACCAACUUUCGUCUGAAUGGGCUUUAGACAAUAGACAUAUGGCUGGAUUCCCUUUGAUUGGGUUGAGAUUCAGAGGGAACAUUUCACAUUUUCGUUCUGACUUGAGAAUAACCUUGUUGGAUUUCUUCUCUAUUAUCUCUGAACCUUCAUCAUCGAACGAGACUUUGAGACCUGUACCUCCCACCAGUUGAGACACACUGAUGAGGUUAUGCUACAACCCUUCUACAUAAGCCACCUUCCUGAUUGUAAAUUCUCCAUUGGUUAUCAUCCCAUAACCCUUUAUUGUUCCAUACGAGUUGUUACCAAACUUGACGUUACCACCGUUUUGAAGGGACCGAAACUCCCUUAGCUUUUCCUUCCUUCCUGUCAUGUGACGUGAGCAGCCACUGUCUAUGUACCAUUCUUCGUCGAACUGCUCGUCACUUAUAACCUGCAAAAAUUAAGCAGAUUUAGGAACCCAAAGUUUCUUGGGUCCUCGUGAGCCUUUCACAGAAACAGGAAUAGUAAGAGAAGCAUCAACAAGAUAAGUUCGUUUUAUUAAUGUUGUUUUAUCUUUCAUCUUAAUAGUAAAUACUUUGAUUUUAUUGGAGUUAGAUUCAAGUGUUUUGGAUUUAGGUUCAGGAGUUUGGGCUUUGGCUUGCUUUCGGUCUUCAUUUGCUGAGGAAUUCUUACUUUUUCCUUUCAAAUCCUUCGUCAAUUGUGAGCUUGGAGUAGGACGAGAAUUAGGCUUAGAAGAAGUAGGAGAACGAGAAGAAUUAGAGGAAUGGAAAUUAGAGUGAGAAUCUUUCCUGACUUGAGGUUUGAAAUGACCCUUUCGGUUGUAAUCAUUUGAGGGACUGAACCUGGACCUUCGGCUGCUAUUUGUUGAUGGAUCGAAGCUGGGUCUUCUGUUGUAAAAGCUUGAAGGACUGAACCUUGGUCUUUGUCUGUUGUUGUUUGGUGGAACGAAACCAGGCUUUUAGUUGUCGUUACUUUCAGGACCGAACCUUUCCUUUCGUUCUUGUUCUUUCUGUGGUCUGAAAGUCUUCUUUUGGUUCUUAUGAUCCAAUGGACCGAAGCUCCUUUUAUCCUUAUUCUCUUCUCCUUUUGGCUUGGAUUUUCUAUCAUAGUGAGUAUAGUGAGGAUUUUGAGAGCGCCAAAAUUGCUUUCGCUCUAAGAGAUUUUUCUUGUAUCUCAGAUUCCUCUGCUACUUUUGACUGUUCACCUGUUUCGGUUGUCUAUGAAUAUUUGCCUCUUGUUUCGGCUUCUAAACAACAGGUUCACUUUCCAUGGAAGAGGUUUAACUUGUUGAGGAGCCGUGUUCCACUGGAACCUCUUUUGUGCCACUGGUACUGGGCACGUCAAAGUUGGUAGGUUUAUUAAGUGGUUCUACCACAUAUCUACCUUUAACCUUCCAUGAUGUUCGCUCCGACAAACCAACUGUUUCAUCUGCGUUGUCUAUUGGUGCAGUCCAGAAAAACUCAUCACAACCAUUUGCAUUAUCUUCAUUCACCAAUGCAGUGAGUUCGGAUGUCUGAUGUUCGGGUACUCCUGUGACCUUAUAAACCUGAUUGGGAGUGGUUCUUACCUUUUGGUAUACAACGACCUUUUCUUUAGGAAUUGGGGACUUAUUUUUGGACAGACGAGCGAAUUCCAUAGAAUUUUCAGAAAUCAAGUUUUUGUGGUUUUCAGGUUCGCUCCUAAUAAACUCUGAACAAUCAACCUCAUCCACUACAAAGAUUUCACUCCUGUCAUCGUCCUCAUUAAGUUCAAAUGCAUUUUCAACAUCAAUUUUAUUUUCUAAACUUAAUUUGGUACUCAAUGAGUCAAAUUUUUGUAUAGUUUCGGCUCUGAGUUUCAACCUGUCAUUUUCAUCCAAAAGGUUCUUAAGCAUGUCCUUAUGGUCUUUGGACUUUAUAAACGAUUCACUUUUGUCCAGACCAAACAUAUAAGUGGGAUUAACAUCAUCAGAAGAUACAACACUUUCACAGUUGUAUGCUUCGGCAUCGAUUUCAUUCUCCUUUAGCUCAAGGAAGGGCAAAAUCAUGCGAUGUAUUUUCUGGCCUAUUUCACAGUCUAAAUUCAGUUGUGUAAUGUGAGUGUAAAGUCUUUUUGCAAUCAAACAAAAAACAUUUCUCUGUUUUAACAACUUAAGAUUGUCUCUUUGCAAAUAGAUAUUUUCAUCCCUAGACUUAACCAGCUCCAACUUUUUCUGCUCAAUCCACAUUCUUCGCUCCUCACUCUUGGAUGACACCCUGCUUAUUUGGUCAGUCAGAUUAGAAUUCGUGACUCGAGUUUGAGUUAAACAACUAUCUAGAUUUCAAGUUCUUGAAUUCAAGUUAUUUAAUUCUUUUUCAUAUGAUGUUUGUGGAAUUUUAAACGAAACAAAAAUGGAUUGUACCUUCUUGAUCAGUUCAUCAAGUUCACUGAUCUGAACACUGAGAGGCUUCGCUGUAAAGCACACGUCCUCUCGCUCCUUAGCCACUUCGUUUCCACCAUCAGUGUUGUAUCCCCUCAUCUGGGACACAUCUGUCACCAUCAAGCAUCUUGCAAUAGCAUCACCACUCUUCGCCACAUAAGCCUUUCCAUGAUUAGGCUUUCUCAGUUCAUCAUCUUCUGAAUCGGUCGACCACACCUAUACACCACCGAACUCAUCAUCAUCUACCGAACCCUGCACGAUUAGAGCAUUCAUAGAGUGAUUAGUAGAAGCUUUAUUCCUUUUAAUCUCCUCCAGUCUUUUCAGGAGAUUUGAUUCUGAUGGGUUUUGGUCCUAAGAACAUCCUAUGUGCUCAUACAAACCCUAAUGCUUGGAUCUAGGUUUCUCUAUUGUACAUGCAAGUUAUCCAAGACUAUAAACCCUAAUUCUAGCAUUCAAGUAAUCAUAUUAACAUGAGAAUAGGUUUAAGAUGUUACCUUGAUUGUUAUGUAGCAAUAACAAUCCCAAAUCUCCUUGUAUUGACUUUAGAAAGCUUAGAGUCACAAAUGUCACUCCUCUAAUGGUUCACAAACACCAUAAGCAAGAGGAUGAAGAGGAGAGAGGAUGGAUGCUGCCCAAAACGUGUUCUAACCCUAGAAGAAAGCUUCACCACGUUUUUGGGUCAUAAUGGUCUUAUAUAUAGCUAGGCAAUUAGGGUUAUCUAACAAGGAAACCCUAAUUUGGAUGCUUAAGCCCUAAGCAACCCAUGGACUCCUUUAAUUAGGGCCUCGGAUGAUUUCCUUAUGGGUUUCUGUUGGAUUAGUGUCUAAGUCCAUAACUAUUUUGGUAUGNNNNNNNNNNNNNNNNNNNNNNNNNNNNNNNNNNNNNNNNNNNNNNNNNNNNNNNNNNNNNNNNNNNNNNNNNNNNNNNNNNNNNNNNNNNNNNNNNNNNUGGCGAAGUGGUGUUGUUCUGUUUCAAAGGAAGUAGCCAGCUUCUUAACAACCGAAUUAACCUUCGCUGCAUUAGAUUCGGCUGCCCCAUGCAAAGACUCCAAAAAGAUGGUAGCAUCUCGAAAUAGUUUUUUGACUUUUUCGGUCGCAGCAACACAAGCCUUUGUUGAUGCAUCAAUAGCAACAAUAGCAGAGUUGAUGGAGGCUUCGUGUGCCUUGGUGAAAGUAUCGACCAUCCCCUGAAUGGCAGCUUCCGUAAUAUGGGACCGAGAGGAGGAGGAAGAAGCGACGAGAUUAUCAAUCUUCUCGUGAAGUUCCUUGAUGUGCUUUUUGNUUAUCAUCAUCAUCGUUGUGAACCUGGUAGGGACUGUAGUAAACUGAAUACGAAGGUUAUAUCUUCCCCUCCUAGAAAUGUCUCGGUUUCGGCUGAGGGAUUGGGAGAUAAAGGCGAUGUUGGAAGUUGGGUUGUGGGAGUAGGUUCGGGUGUGAAAGUGGGUUUGGUUGUAGGUGUGUGUUUGGGUGUUGAAGUACGAUCCCCGUAUCAGAUACGUUGGUUCGAAAUCCAGUGGUUGUUGUUUUUGUGGCUUCAUAGAAGAUGGGAGGUGGUAUAGGAAUAGAAGUGGGUGGAAUAUGAGUGGAGGAAGUUAUGGGGGGAAUGGAAAUAGGGAUAGUGAUAGGUGGAGAAGAGACAGGUUCGGUUGUGACUGGUACCUCAGGUGAAGGCGAACGGGGAGGAGAGUCGCCUCGAAUCGACCCCUCUGAGUCUGAACUUUCAUAGAAUAAGCUACUUAUGUCAAAGAGAAGGUGUAACCGAUUUUGGUUCAUGAGGGUUCUAUUUAUAGUGUUGCACAUGCUAGGGUUACACUUUGUAAACCCUAAUGACCCAUGACUUUCCACAUUCUCAUGGUCCAUGGAUUUAACCUUCAUGGACUAUCUAUUAGCCCACACUACAAGAAUCAUUGAUAUACAUUAUCAAUCCCAAUAUAUUUAAUUAGUCUCUUUUGACCACAAAAUUAAUUCCAAAUUAAUUCUUGAUCAAUACUAAUUAAAUAAUUUCAUAUAAAUGCAUUAUACUUGUAAUAUGUUAAUAAACCAAAAAUAACCUUAUUCUCAAAAGUCCAUCCUAUCAAAAGACAACCCAAAAGGACCAUGCUAGAAUCGGGUCAAGUACAUACCAGUUAUAAUUAUGCCCUUUGUGAGGGGGUCUGUUGGGUUGUCCUUUGACGAUAUCCCCUAUACCACGAGGUGCCUUCUUCUACUUGAUGUUUUAUGAAGUUGUAUUUCCUGAUGAUGUCUAGAUCUACCAUGAUCUCUCGGUUCCUUGGUUAAGGAAACCGCCCCUUCAUUAUCACAGAAAAUCUCCAUAGGCUCCUUUAUGGAUGGAAUGACUCCAAGGCCUUCGAUGAAGUUUUUCAACCAUAUCACCUCAUUCGAUGCUUCNUUUUUCAACCAUAUCACCUCAUUCGAUGCUUCGCUUGCUGCUAUGUACUCUGAUUCACACGUUGAAUAAGCUACAGUCUCCUGCUUGGAGCUUUUUCAUGUCACUGCUCCCCCAUUCAGGGUAAACACCUAGCCCGACUGAGAGCAGAAAUUAUCUCAGUCGGUUUGAAAGUUGGUGUCACUAUACCUUGUCACUCUCAAAUCAUCACUCCCACCCAAGGUAAGGAUCCAGUCUUUAGUCCUCCGUAGGUACUUAAGAAUGUUCUUAACUGCAGUCUAAUGAGCUUUACAAGGAUUCCCUUGAUAUCUACUGACCAUGCUCAAAGAAAAGGCCACNNNNNNNNNNNNNNNNNNNNNNNNNNNNNNNNNNNNNNNNNNNNNNNNNNNNNNNNNNNNNNNNNNNNNNNNNNNNNNNNNNNNNNNNNNNNNNNNNNNNCAAGUACAUACCAAAAUAGUUAUUGACUUAGACACCAAUCCAACAGAUUCUUCAUCCUUCUCCUCAUCUUUCUCCGCCAUUUUCUUCAACACACAAUCUUUUGCGUAGUGAUUUUUCCCUCCACAGUAAAAACAGCUGGCACCAGAAUCAGCUUCACCCUUCGCUUCUUUCUUUGGUUCUUCAACCUUCGGCUCCUCUUUCGCCUUUUCAGAGCUGUAGCUUCCCUGACAAUUACGGUUCUUGUUGGUGGGGAACUUCUUCUUGAUGAACCUCCUGGGAUUUAACACCAUCAUUGCAUAAUCUUCAGAUGUCAGAUCAUAGUCUCCCAGAUUCAGAUCUUCUUCUGCUGCUGCGCUCUUACCUUUAGACAGAAGGGCUAAAGACCCCAAGUUUGAAACCACGCACUUCUCUUGCAGCACAAUAUUUUCCUGGGAUUUCAGAAUCCCCACAAGUUUCGCCAAUGAAUAUGAUUUGAACUGCUCAUGUGCUUUAACCGUCGACACAACUGCCCUCCAUUCGGGUCUUAGGCCAUUUAAGAAAGUGACCUUCUGUUCGAUGAGCUUUCUUUCCAUGUCAUGUUUGAUCAUCUUACUGAGAAGAUGAUUGAACCGAUCGAACGUUUGUGUAACAACCUCCUCUGGCUUCUGCUUGAAAUCUCUAGG
This 69238-nucleotide long non-coding RNA is filed under the name Lactuca sativa (garden lettuce). RNAcentral describes it as "long non-coding RNA (LSAT_LNC009276)". The record is from RNAcentral. Lineage: Eukaryota; Viridiplantae; Streptophyta; Magnoliopsida; Asterales; Asteraceae.